CUAUAUAAAAUUCCUGCUAAUUCUGAAGAUUCGUUCUCCUUCUCUUCCCAAGUCUCUUGUCCUCGUACGUUUCUAACUAAGUCAACUAUCCUUAUCUAGGAAAUAUAGGAAUUUCAUUUAAUGAGAAGAAUAUUUUUCCUAAGGACACCUCCAUGUUAUGCUUUGUGGGACUUAAAUUAGGGUUUCUCGUGAGCUUAGUAGUAACUCAUAGUGAGCAAACUUGGUGGCAACUGAAGAGUUCUGGCACUGUUGCCCAGUGUCAGCUGUUGCACUCGUAUAUCCAAUAUUGCUUUUUUAAUAAAAUUAGGCGUCUUGAGUAAUUAUGAUCUUGAACUUUUUAUUUUUGUGUGGGAGUGUCUGUGCAUGUUGUGCAAAAUAUUUUCCGGAUUUCUGCAGCUUCUAGGAGCUUAGUUGCCAUUGCAGAAGACACGAAAGGACAUAGUGUUGUGAAGUACUGGCGUACUAAAACCCCUGGACUUCAGAUCACAGCUUCUUUAAGGUAUGGAAUCUGACCUAACUUUAUUUCUACCAGCAGCAAAAUUUUAGUUUGAUUAUAUAUAUUUGUUUUUGUUAAUGAUCUUAGUCUGUUGCUAAUAUAUUAGCAUGCACUUUUGUCUUGGUAGCCUAUUUUCAGUUUCAUGCAAUAAAUGCUUUUUUAUGAUUAGCACUGCAACGUUAUACAUAGUAGAGAGUAAAUAUCCAAACACCUUUACAAGCAAAUGCUGUAGAAAUGGAAGUUUUGGCCUUCUUCAAAUUUCUAGAUUUGUUCCAUAUGGACAUCUUUAGCACUUGCUUUCCAUGAUGAACCGAUGGUGCAGAGUAACUAUAAAUUCGUGAUGCUUGUCGGAGUGGUCGUGGACUUUUGAAAUCAUUUAUGAAGCUUCAUACUAACUGAUACAAUGGUAAAUGUCAAAUCAAAAGGAUUACAUACAAUUAUAGAUCCGUAUUAUCGCAGUCAUUUAUUAUGUAAACUCACGUGGACAGUAAAUAGACUUCAAACUUGUAUCGGAGGAAUUUUUCUAAGGGCAUUUGCUCCAUAUACAGAUAUUAGAGGAAAUAAUGACAAAUACUUGGUUUUGAGCCUAGUAACGACAAGCAAAAAUGAAAGAUUAGCAGAAAUACCGUUUUCUUUAGACUUAAUUCUCUGAGACUCCUAAUGGAAAUAAUUUUUCACAAACAUUUUCAUACAUAAGUGGCCAGGUUAUGAUGAAUGAAAGUAUUUUGGUUGAAUGAGCGGCCAUCAGAUUGGUAAUGAACGGUAUUAAUGAAUAACAAAUCAAUUCCUUAGGGUACUGUUCGUGAGCAAAUUAUUGAUCCGAGUAACGAAAUUGAGCUAAGUUAGGGUUUUGUCCUUGAGCAAAGUUAUUGAACUGAAAAGAAAAGUUGAGCCUUAAAAACACCAGGAAUUUCAUUUAGGCUAACAGAUAUGAUUGUAGCUCUUUAUCCUCGUUUACUAGAUUGUAAAGAAAAAGCUUUCAUGCUAGUGAACAUUUUUGACCUUGGAAAUGACUCUUGAUUACAUUAGCAAUGUUUAUAGCAAAAAAUUGCUUUUGCCGAAUGUUAUUCAGUAAAUAGGUAGUCUAGACAAGAAUGGAUGCAUAAUACUUCAAUGUUGGUGGUAGAGACUUAAAGGUUUAUGCAUCUACAGGAGUGACACAGCAAAGAAAAGAGUUAUUUAUUUAUUUUGGAUUUCGUCUUUGGUUCUAAUGUAUGAAUUAUUUAAAAAUACCAACAAUCUAAGUUACACUCACUAAAUUUGAGGUGAACUAUAUGAAUCACUUUUCAUCAUUGCAUUCUAUUCAUCAUGAGAUUAUCUAAUGCAAAUUGUGGAUUAUUUAAAAAUAUGUACUAAAAUAUUGUGAAUAGAAAAAAUGAGUUUAAAAUAUAUAUGUAAAUAUUGUGGCUACAAAAAAACGAUUUUUUGACUGCUUUCGCACUUUGUUCCCUGUUAGGAGCUUGUGCAUAAAAUAUGAACAUAGUAGGAGUAGCUGAUCACGAGGUAGAUAUUGAACAAAUCUACAUGUGCAACUAGCUAUGGAAAGACAUACUUAUUAACAUACUAUAUUUACCCAGGUAAUUUCAUCUUUAUAUAUUGGCUAUUUAGGUAAACAUAUAAUUUCUUGCUUUCUUAAUGUAUAUGCGUGUCUUUCCCUAGAUGGAAAUGGCAAAAUUAUAAAGGUAUCCAGUCUUCCCAUAAUCUAAGCAAACUAUUUUUACCAGCUACAGAUUUUUUAUUUUAAAAUGGUUUGGAGCCAACUUAAUUUUUGCUUGUGGUUUAUAGCAUAGUUAUGAAUGCUUCACGAUUCAUGUCUUUUGUAGGCUGUGAAGCAUUGAACUGCCUAUGAACGAUUGUGGGGUUGGCCAUAGGUGGAGAUUUCUGGAUAAAAAUCGUUUCUUUGCAGAAGUUAUUCAUUAAACAGGCUUGAUUUGUGGUAUUGGGCGGUGAAAAUUAGGCUUUGUUUGUGGUAUCGGGCGGUGAAUAAUCGUUGACACGUGGCAUUAGACUUAGUUUUAUAAAAGUUGCUGGAGUAUCCUCCAAUUCAUUACUUGUACUACUUUUCAGAUACCUGAGUAGGUUUGCUUCCUUAUUCUAGUUCUGGUUUUGCUUUUUUCCCGAUUCAUGUUACUUUUAAUGUUAUUAAGUUUGCAAUUGUUAGCCCGAAAUCUAUAGAUCUGUCAUGAUUGUGAAGAUUGUUAGAGAAACAUUGCACUGGGCUUUGUUUUUUGAGUUUGAGUUUUUUUCCUUCUAUAAUUUUUCUUGAUUUAAUCCCUGGGUAAAUUCUGUUUUCAGGAUUUUUUCUCGUCUUAAGUUUGGAUCUUAUGGAUUCUAAACCAGUUAUAGUCAGCCUGAAGGCGCUGCGUGCUUUCCAUUCAAUUGACAGGGCUCUUUAUGCUAUACUCGUGACUGAACUUUGGCGUGAUCCCGUGGAAUCGUUGCAGAUUAUUGCCUUAUGGCUUUGGUUAGAGCAUGUGGGUUUUGGCAAAGUCACAAGGAAGAUCUUGGCAUUUGCUCCGUUGUUCAUCAAUCAAACUGCUGAAGAGGCGGUUAUGUGUAUCAAGUGCAUAAAGGAUUCCCACUUCAGACAUUCAGCUGAAGCCACCGAUAUUCCUCUGACUCGUAGCAUUGUCGAGAAAGAGAUAUCACUUCGGUUUUUUAAUGAGAAUCGUGUGACUGCAUCCCGUGAAGUAGGCAGAAUUAUUAAUCAAGAUUGCCUGUACACUAUGCGAGACAUCACUGAAAAAGCCCUUCAUGGUAAUUCUGGAGAAAGAUCAUCAAGAAACUGGUUAUUAAAUCCAUUGAAUGCUGCUCAGAAUUCUCCAUCAAAUUCUACUCUGAUGCCAUUUAAUGGUCGACAAAGUUCACGAUGGAAUCAGAUGAUGAUUUCAUCCAACGCUAAUACUGCAGAAAGUUCAUAUAGAAACCAGAUGAUUCCUUUUAAUGCUUCUCGACGCUAUUUAUCAAAUCCCAUUGUCAUGCCAUUCAAUGGUGGGCCAAGUUCAGGAUAUGGCCAGAUGAUGAUUCCAUCGAAUGAUGCUUGAAGAUCUUUAUCAAAUCCUACUGUGAUGCCAUUCAAUCUUAGACGAAGAUCUGGGUUGAACGAAAUGAUGAUGUCACGUCAUUUCCACGAGUCGAUGAUCCAUAACUUCUCUAACAUGAGAGUUGGAAGGAAUGCAUUCCCGAGAAAUAAUCAACUCAUAAACGAGGUACCACGAGAAGACAGGACUGUGUUUGCAACAUUUUCUGGGGGUUAUCCUGUGGCUGAAAUGGAAGUUAGGCACUUCUUCACAACGGUCUAUGGGAAUUGCAUAGAAUCCUUCAGAAUGCAGGAGGUUAGGCCUUACGAGCAACCACUUUAUGCUCGAGUCGUGUUCCUUUAAGCCUCGUUCGUUCAGGAAAUUCUUGAUGGUACGGAGAAGGCCAAGUUUACCAUCAACGGAAAGCACGUAUGGAUGCGCAAGUUUGUGCCAAGAAACGAGGGCUCCUCUUAACUGGCAUUGGUGUGAUAGAAUACUGGCUACGUCAUCUAUCUGUAUUUUGAUGUUUCGUUCCCUGUAGUUUCCCGUUAUCCUGUCGUUAUUGUAGCCGUUUGUCGUGUUAAUGUAAUUUCUUUCGUUUCUUUCUUUUACGUGUUGUAUUUUCAAUUUGACUAGUGAAUGCAAUAUAUUAGUGGUGUUACUUGUGUUAAUUUCAGUUAUUUCGAGUAAACUUGAUGUCUUUUAAGAGUGAUGUUUGGUAAAUAAUACAUAGAAAAUAAGUAAUGAGUAACAUGAUAAAAUAGGUUGUUCAAUCCUUGAGGUUUUUCUGAACUUGCAUCAACUCUCCAGACUCUUCAGACUAAAAUACCAGGAACUACUCUCACACAAUCCCCCUGUCUGGAAAAGGUUAAUAAUUUAGGGUGGGUGUGAUUACAUUUAUUUUCCAUGAAAAAUAUCAGUUUUCACUCAAAUUCCUAUUUCGGAUGUUUGAUUGUUAUUUUUUUUUCAGUAAAAAUAUUUUCCAACUUUUAAAAAUAUGCCUAGUUUUCCUUAUUUUUAAGGAAAAUAAUUUUUUUGGAGAGAGCCGGUUUUUGUUUUCCACAAAAUAAGGAAAAUAUUUUUUCUUUAGAUGAUAUUUUUCACGUCAAUCAAACACAUUUUUAUCCUUUUUUUAGUUGUGGGGCCGCAUGGGUGGGAAGUUACGGAGCCUAGCUGGUGUUGAGUUACGCACGACAAAAGAUGACAAAUUUUUUUUUUUACAUUUUUUCUCUAAAUCUUAUCUGUUUAGUCUACACUAACAAAUUUUUCAUAGUUGUUCCCUUUAUUCUAAUCAAGUCCAGAUUAGCAUAUGAAAGAGUGUUUGUUUGGGAGAAAUUAUAAUAGUAUUAAAUGAAAGUAAGUAGUGGGUCCUAUAAAACGUGUGGAUAAUAAGUAGGAGUAAUUGUAAAUAUAUAAUUACAAUUAAUGUUUGACCUAAAAUUAUAAUGAUAUUACCAUGUUUGGUUGCAUGAGGAGCUCACUCCAUUUCAACAUUUCUUUUUAUAAGCUUAUAAUUAUGUCAAUAUAAAUAACAUUUGAAAUUAAUUAUUUAAGAUUGAUAAAAUCUGUGUAAACAACUAUUAAAAAUAUGUGUGAGAGAUGUGUACCUUCAUUAAAACUCUACCUAAAAAAAAAGUGAGUUCAACGUCAUCUUAAUCUCACCUAAAACUGUAACAAAUUUUGUCUUGCUUCGGUGGUUGGGGUUUGGUGAGAGGUAAAUAACUUUUAAGUCAAACGCAGAAGCAUUAAUUUGGCUUGUUGUGACAUGAAGAACUCGAGUGCUAUUCAAAUUUUUAUCUUUUAAAAAGUAGAAGAAUUUUACAUAAAGUGAGUAAAAAAUUGACUCGUUAAUUAUCUCGAUAAUUGAUUUUGUAACUGACUACAAUUGGUAAUGGUCCAAAUGAAUCUAUUAAGAAUCGUGUUGAACUGGACAUAAUUCAGGUUUUUUUUGUUUUUGUUACUAUAAAAUAUAGUCCAUUCGUUAUAUAUUGUUUUUAGGUUUGAAAAGUUGAAUUGAUUAGGUGGUUUUAUAAAUGCAUUAUAGUUUUAACAUGAGAUGGAUGGAUUUAUUUAUAUUGGAAGAGGCUUUGUGAAGUAAUAAAAUUGUAAUCAUUAAUGAGAAGUGAACGUGUUAUUCCAAGGAAUACCAAAAUGGUCCAAAAUAUUUACACAAAGUUUCCGGUCAAGUCUAGUAGUUCAAUUGAUUAUAUUAGUAUUUUUAUUUGUUAUUAUUCGUCAUAUAAACAUCAAAGAGCGUAUUGAUAUUAAUGUACCAACUUUAUAUAUUCAAAUUUUAUAAGAUUGCAUAGUUAAAUGAAUGGAGUAAAGGAAAUCGAAUUAUACCAUUCUUUACUUAAAUGUUGAGAUGAGUCCAUGUCCAUUCAUCAUUUUCAAUUUUUGAAAAUUGAUGAAUAGAGAAGAGGACACCCCAUGUCUUAAUGUUCGAAGAUUUAUCGAUACUAGUUAUUUAACAAAAUUAGUACCACUUCAAUGAAUUGCUUGUGCAAUUUUUUGUCGUCCGUCGUCUUAGAAAUCUAUCUUUAUAGAUUUUCCACUUAACAUAUAUAAACCAAGAGUAUUCAGAAGUUCCCCAAACACAGGUCUUGCGAUGAACAUUAUUUGGCCCCGUUUAGUCUCCAUUAUUUUUUUAUUAUAAUGGGGGAAUAGUUUUUUUUUUUUGAAAAAUUGAUGCAUGUAAAAAAAAUGAAAAAUUUUCGAUUUACGUGUAAUAUUAUUUUAUGGAAGAUUGUGUGGUUAAAAAUAGGAGGGAGAAGGGGCCAAACGGGGGCUCGAUAAAGAUUACGGCGAACACACGUCUCAAAUAUGGGACUACACUAUGUCAUGCUAGGGCACAAGAGUGUCGUAAGAUCGGAGGAUGCAGCGAACUAAGAGGUCCUUCUUCUUCUUUUGAUUUGACUAUAUCAGUUAGUACCUAAAAAGUCAAACAUGAGACAUUCUAAGUAUGUUUUGCCGUGGAAGAGAUUGCUUUGUCAUUGAAGUGAUGAAUCGUAACGGGCUAGUCAUAGGGCCGCUUGACCCAGUGCUCCACUUCUAACUCUAGUUAGACAUGUUUAUCUUUGAGAAAAGCCCAGUGUACAGGGCAUUUCUCAUAGGUCUUUUACAAGGUCCCUCAUUGUGCGGGGGCCCCACAUGUAUUAAAAAUAAAUAAAAUUAUAUGAGGCCUGCGUAUGUGUGUGGCUUGGCCCUGUAAGCCUAGCAUCUCUCUUUAUCUUUAGAUAUGCAACACCAAUCUAAUAGACACAUCAUAUUGUCGGUCCUAGAUAAGUAUUUUUGUGACUCGGUUGACGGUCAAACGUAAAAUAAUUAAAAUAAUUUGCAAGAAAUUAAGAACUUAGCAAUUUUCGGCCCUAAGGCCCCGAGGUUCGGCUAAUGCCUACUCUCCGUUGAGCAUCCGUUAGAAUUUUGCUCAAAUCCACUAGAUCAACUCAAAAACCAGGCAAAGUUACAAGUACAGAAAGAACUCCAAGAUUUCUGCCUCUCGAAAUACACAGAUCACCAUCAAGAUUCCAGAAUAUUCCACAAAGGAAUGGAUCUCUUCACCCUCUAAACAUAUUAUCACAAUUUCACUCAGAAAUUACACUAGAUUCAUCACACAAGAUGAAUAUUCAUAUAGAUCAGAAGAGGAGCAGUCAAGAGAUUAGGGUUAGGGUUCGAGAGUGAGUGACCCAAAAGUCAGGCUCCAUUAUUUAUAAGAGAGGAAGCUAAUAUGCUAAUCCAAUGGUUCCCAAUUUGCCAGGUGUCAACCAUCCAGCCACAAUCAUAUUAUAAGUAAAGUUGCAUUUUAGAAACACGAUUUCUCAUUAAUUUCGAACGUUUAAUUAACUGGAUCAAAUAAGUGGGCCUUAUAUAGCUAGCUCGAUCAUUGGGCUCAAGAAUUGCAGCAGCCCAAUAUCUUCACAAUCUCCACCUUGCUUGAAUUUUGAGGCCAAUACUAAGUGGAUUCUUACAAAACUGACCAACUUCAUUUGCUCUAAAAAACCUGUAAAAGAAAAAAGGAUCAGAGUUAGUAAAUUUCAAGAUUCAACAACCUCAAGGAAUCUUUGAAUUUACUUAGAGGUAUCACCUUUGUACCUGCAUCAGCAGGAUUUAUUUUAGUAGGAAUUUUGACCAACUUUAUUUCACAUUUUUCAACAAUAUCUCUAAUGAAGUGAAACUUAACAUCUAUAUGCUCGCUCCUAUCAUGAAAAAUUGGAUUCUUACUUAAGAAAAUGGCACUUUGGUUAUCAGAACACAACUCCACAUGAUUUUCUAUAAAUCCUAACUCCUUCAAUAACCCCAUCAACCAGAGACCUUCUUUUACUGCCUCUGCAGCAGCUAUGUAUUCAGCCUCAGUUGAGGACAGUGCUACCAAUUUCUAAAGUUGUGAUUUCCAGCUUAUGCAUGUAAUAUUGAUCACAUAAAAAUACGCAAUAGUGGAUUUCUUAUUAUCAUAGUUUCCAGCAAAAUCUGAAGCUACAUAGCCUUUCAAUUUAAGACCAUUUUUAUCAGAUUUAAACAUAAGACCUAAGUUCUGUGUGCCUUUCAGGUAUCUAAUUAAAAUUUUCAUGGCUUGCCAAUGAAGCUCACCCGGAUUACUCAUAAAUCUGCUUAAUACACUUACUGCAUAAGCUAUAUUAGGUCUAGAACAUACCAUAACAUACAUGACAGAAUCCACAGCAUUUGCAUAUGGUACAUUCAACGUUCUUUUAAAUUCAUCUUCAUUUUUAGGUGAUUGAUCAAUUGAUAAUUUCACAUUCCCAGACAAAGGUAAACUAACAGGUUUUGCAUUAUGCAAAGAAAAUUUUCUCACAACCUUUUCAAUAUAGGCUUUUUGGGUUAAAAACAACUUUCCAUUAGACCUGUCCCUUUUUAUUUCCAUUCCUAGUAUCUUUCUAGCAGGUUCAAGGUCUUUCAUUUCAAAUUUAGACUUUAAUUUUUGUUUCAUAAAAUUUAAAGUAGCAGAAUUAUGACCAGCUAGAAGCAUAUUAUCCACAUAUAGGAGCAAGUAAAAUGAUUCACAUUCUCCAUCCUUUUUGAAAUAAAAACAGGGAUCAUAUUCAGAUUUUAUGAAAUUCAGGCUUUGUAUAAAAGAGUCAAAUCUUUUAUACCACUGUCUUGGAGCCUGUUUUAGGCCAUACAAUGAUUUAUUUAACAGACACACUAAGUGUUCCUUUCCUUUAACCUCAAAGCCGUUUGGUUGUUUCAUAUAUAUAGUUUCAUCCAAAAAACCACAUAAGAAGGCUGUUUUAACAUCAAGUUGUUCUAGUUCUAAAUCAAAUUGUGCUACGAGGGCAAGUAAUAUUCUAAUAGAGGUAUACUUCACUACUGGAGAAAAUAUCUUAGUAUAAUAUAUACCCUCUCUUUGUGUAAAACCUUUUGCUACAAGUCUUGCCUUGUAUCUUCUAUCAUUUGAUUUAAAUUCGCCUUCUUUAAUUUUAUACACCCACUUAGAGUCAAUCAGUUUGCAGUCUUUGGAUUUUUCUACUAAAUGCUGAGUUUUGUUUUUACUUAGAGAACUCAUCUCAUCCUGCAUUGCUGCAAACCAUUUCUCAGAUUCUUUAGAGAUAGUUGCCUCUUCAAAUGACUCAGGUUCCUUAUAUUGAGGAUCAAAUUCCAAGUGUGCAGAUACAAAAUCUGCAUAUUGGUAUCUUAAAGGUGGUCUAAUCUGUCUCUCUCCCUAUCCCUAGUUAGCUGAUAGUCUUGCAAGUCAUUUGUAGGUCUAUGUCUUGAUUAUCACCUGUAUUUUCAUCAACUAUGAUAGGUUAAGUUUCUUCUUGAGGUUGUUAUUCGUUAAAAUCCCGCAAACGUACGGGUUCGUUGUACAAGUAAUAAUUGUGAUGAAAGAGUUAUCGUCUCACAGGGAAUAAGGUCUAAUUCCAGUGUAUUCGAUAUAAUUAAAUUUGUGUGAUUACUAAAGGUUGACAUUUGUUUGAAUAGCUAGUUAAGUUUUAUAACUAAAAAUUUGCAAAAUUUAUGUGAGUUUGUUUUAGAAUUUAGAUGAGUGAAUGUAUUGGAUUUCCGACGCCACUGAUCAACUCUUAGUUCUAAUCCUCAACCUAUGACAAUCAUCUCAACUCAUGCAAUUGUGGCGAUCGAUAAUUUCACUUUUAUUUAUUAUUCUUUCCCAAGAUAUAAUAAACCUAUGAUUACCAUGAAACGAUCAUAUUCCUAGUCCAAAUUCAUAUGACAAACACGUAUUAAUGUAUAGUAUUAUCACACAUGAUCGCACACGUCACAAAUAUUAUUCCUAACAUUCAAUAUCCAUGCGUUCCAAUAACAGUGUUCUACCUACCGUGAGUUUUUCAACACUACGAAUAAGCAACUUAUUGUCCUAAUGGUGCGCAAACAUUAAAACUAUAUAGAUAUGCAUAUUAAAGAAACCACAACACAAGAAUUAAGAUAAAAACAUAAGGUCUUGAAUUAAAAACUAAGAGUCAAUCAAUUUUGUCAUCCAUCCAUUACAAAGAUAUCUAACCUAGCAUAUUAAUGUAGGAAAAAAUAAAAGAACGACAUCACCCGAAUCAUUAAAGUAUGAAAAGAAUCUGAAAUCCUCCACUUUAUGCCUUCAAUUUCGGAUCCAAGUGAUGAAGUCUUGUUCUUUAAUGUAUAUCCCGCUCUCUUUUUCCUCUUUGUCGGCUUCCAAGAUGAUAAAAAUUAGAUUUCCCCUAUUUUUGUCGACUUUUGGUAUAAAUAUCGUGCAAAGAAUUGUAAGCCAAGAUUUUUCAAAACAAAAUAAAGAAACAGAUUUUUUUUUGUCGAAAUUGAACCAUGCGUACGCAUAGUAGCCUCAAUUGAGUUUCAGAAGUUAAAUUUUCCAAUCGUGUGUACGCACGACCUGCAAGCCUAUGUGUACGCACAACUCAAUUAUUUUAGGGGCCAAUUUGCAAUUUGGUCCCUAAACUUUCUGAAGUGUGUGUUUUGGUCAUUUCCCAAAAUUUUUUGUCCUAUUAGCUUUUCUUCAACUCCAAUUGACUCUUGGUGUUCUCAACACAUCAUUCUUUGGUCCAAUUCAACUUUUGGGUUAUUGUAUUUUAGUCCCCAAACUUUGCCUUGAUGAAAUUGAGUCGUUUUUCCCGCUUAUUUUCUUUAUUCUCAUAUCUUCUAUUGAUUGUAACCUACACACAAUAUAUAAAUAGGAUUAAGCCAUAUUCCAUCAAAUUCAUUAACAAAUACUCAAUUUUAAUGACCUAAAAAAGUGUAUAAAAUACACUUAUCAAACACCCCCAAACUUGAACAUUUGUUUGCCCUCAAACAAUUUAUAGCCCGAUCUAAUUAAACUUUGGUUAGAUGGUAUGCUGUUAGUCUCAGGAUUAGAUAAUUGUGUCAUUACUUUGAAAAGUGUCCAAAUUACACAUCUGAAAUUAAUUUCCCCGUAUUCAAUGUGAAACUUAAAGUGUGUGUGUGAAUAUUCAUGUAAACAUCAUAACACUAAUAAAUGGUUUGAUUCCCAACCUGCAGUAGUCAAUUAUUUCAUUUCCUCACUCGUAAGAUACACACCCCCAAACUUAUGAUUUUUACUCACUUUUCCCGAGGUAUGCACUAAGGUUAAUUUUUAGCUAAUUCUAAUCCUUACCCUCUCUCAUUCGGAUAGAUCUUACCUAAUAUAGAUUCCCAUCUCGAGUAAUAAGGAUUCUCCCAUAUUUUUGAUUACUUCGGCUUCUAAGACUCAAUUGAGCUAAUGACCCAUUGUCAAAGGUAUAAGUCCCUAAAAUAGUUGUUAGAGACUUAAGCAACUAAGUGAGCCCUGUAGCGAGUUUUCAAUUGGUGACUCCCAAGUCAGAUGACCAUAGGGCACCAGGUUUUAAGGACCCUUGCAGGCUUAAUUGCUCGAGUUAAAAAGGCUCCGAAGAGAACUUCUUUAUACUUCUCUUAAUUACCAGGAUUAGUGCAAUGCCCCUUAUUAAACACCUAUUCUCAAAACGGACCCCUAACUCGAGGUUUUCGUCUCAAUUCAUCUUAUUGGCUUUAGAUAAUCCACACAAUCAUUUCACACAUGGAAUCCUUACUUAUCUCAAUGUCUCUCUAUACUAGUUUAAUCAUUUCCAAAUUCUCCUAAAAGAGGUUUUAUGGUCUUAUUUAUUUGUGUUGGUUCGGGUUUGAAUCAACAAUGUUCAACUUUCUCCUUAUACAAACCAAGUUAUCAACUCAUAAUGCAGAACAUGAAUAUCGUGCUCAAUAGAGAUCAACUUUCACAUCACCAAGUGUCAAUUAACUCAACAUAUAAUUUUUCCACGGUUCUUAGUUAAUUACACAGUUCCAAUAAUUGCAUCAUUGCCAGCAAGGCAAUCCAACCCACACAAGCUCACAAAAGUUAAUUUUUUUUCAAAGAUAAAACAUACCAAUCAUGUGAAAUCAUACGAAAAGAAGUAAAAGUGAAGAUAAAAGAUUAAAUCACCCCCAAACUUAACAGGUGCAUUGUCCUCAAUGUACCACAACAAGGAAUAAAAUGCAAAAAGGGGGGGUGCGAAAGGAACUGAGAACUCCCCUGGUUAAUUGGAAGGUGGCGGUGGAGGUAGAUGGGAAAGAAUCUCCCUCAUCAAAGCAGAUUGCUGGUCCAUCUCGAUUUGCAUAUUACAGACCAUGUCGUAUGUCUGAUCAGCCUGGAAUUGCAUGCCAUCCAUCAUUCCAGUAUAACGGUCCAACCUCCCAAUUAUCCUAUCAGUACUUCGAUGUAAAUCAGAGACAUCUUCUUGAGUCCUGCUCAUGCUGGCUCGUACAAUCCCAAUGUCAGCUUGCAUAUCUUGUACCCAUAAAUCCAGGGUUGUAAAUGAUUGCUGCAACUGUUGAACAUUCCUACUCAGCCCGAUCAUCGUCGCAAAUAUUUGUCGCAGUACGGGGGUAUCAACUGGUGGCUCAUGUUGCGAGUUCGGGUGGAUGUCAACGUCAUCCUCAUGGCCUACCUCAUCCUGGUUAUCUUGUCGUCCUUGUUUGUACUGAUUGACUUUUCUCCAAGAGUUUUGGACGGAGAGAAUGUUGAUUGGGGUAGCAGGACGUAUUGCCUGCUCAGCUGGUCAGAGCUGCACUCCGUAAGCCCUGCAUAUUCCACAAACAAGGCUUGGAAAUAUGAGUGUGUGUCAUGGGUCUACUUCAGCAGCACGGGCACAAAUUAGAUUAUAGAUUUGAGUGCCCAAGUCAAAUUUGAGCCCUCUAGCUAGAUGGUAGAGCAAAGCAGCUUUAGUGUGAUCGAACUUGUAACGAUGCUUGGAGGGAUCAACAUUGUGGUAAACAAACAUCAUUAGAACCAUGAGGGACUCAGUUAAAUUACUGUAUAAGAAAUUCGAUCGACGGAGCGGCCAGGCAUCUGCUCUUCCAUAGAAAACAUGUGCUAACUCUGGCCAAUUCUGCUCUGGUGGUAUCGGGAUGAUUCCUUCUAGAUUCAAUUCAAGAUAUUCAUCAAUGACCUUAGGUGUGAACAUAAACCAUUUAUCCUGCACCCAAGUUUGGUGCUGGUGACUUGUCCCAGGCUCGUUGAUGGAAAAGUUGAAAUUUGUGUAGAACUCUUGAACAAGUGUAGGAUAAAUAGCAAAUGGUUUAGCUCACAUUUUCCCAACCCUCACGAUGGAUUAAUGCCUCAAUUUCAAACCCCGGGAAAUCUUCCGAUACCACUUCUCGCUCAGGUAAAAUAGUCCAUUUGGUGACUACUUGCUCAAAUCAAAACUUAUGCUCUGGGUUUAGGAAUCUUCGCAUGCCACCUUCAUCAACUCAAGAGCGGCCCAGGUUGGACGAAGAAGAGGCUUUGCCUUUUCCUUUUGAAAUGGAUGGAGCGUCGCGUGUGCAUUUGGGAGGCAUUCCUGCAAAAGGCACAAAAUAAGCAAUAUGAGAUAGAUGAACGGGGUAAUUUUUAUCAAGAGAAUACCAUGAGUACCAAAUGAAGAGCAAAGUGUAGUGCUAUGUGUGGGGAAGAACACGGGAGUGUAGUGGAAGGAAUGGUAGGUACAAUGUGUAGUUUCCCUUCAAUUUCAAGCUAUACAAUAGAGUGGAUGCAAGCAAGUAUAAGGUGUCGUUAAAUUGAGGAAAGCCCAAGUGUUGUGCAAAAAUUCAAGCUAAAAUGCAGACAAACGAGUCUUUGGGACAAUUAAACAGACACUUUGUGGGCAAUGUUGUAGCAAGAACGCCCAUAUGCCUAUUUUGUUAUGAAUCUACCAAUGUUUACAUCAAAUUAAACAAAAUCCACCAUCUACUUAAGCCCAACCUCUACAAUAAUCUAUAAAGUCCAUCAAAUCGCACGAAAAUUGGAAAAAAAAUAAAAUUUGCAACCCGCGAGUGUUCAAAGUGAAGUAUAUUACCUUCGAGUUCUUGGCAAUUGGGGGUGUUUGAGUGGAUGAUGUUGAUGUACAAGGUACUCUAAUGUGACCAAGGUGUAAUGCCCAAGUGAAGGGAUGAAGAAAUCUGGGGGGAGAUGCGUCGGUUUGUGGAGAAAUAGAGGUGUGCUCGUGUGUAUGUGAGGAAUUGUGUGCGUGGGUGUUUAAAAACCCUUACCCAACUGGGUCGUGCGUACGUAUGGCUUGGGCAGUGCGUAUGCACAGCCCAAGCAGAUUGGCCUCGGGCAGCCAAUCUGCCUAACCAUGCAUACGCACGACCUGCUGGCUGAUGCGUACGCAUGGUUAACCAAUUUUUUGUUAACUGACUUUCCAUACCCACUCCGACUGAAUUCUUUACAUAAUACAGUUUAGGAAUAUGCAAAAUGAUUAUGACAUAGAAGUUCAAUGCCAAUCUUGAAAGGUUCGUUUUGGUUUAAACUGAACCCGACCCCUCGUGUUCCACUCCCAAGCUAUGAUAGAAAAAUGUGCAAAUGAUGUGGGAAUCAAUAGAUUAUAAGUAAGUCAUUCUUGUACCCAAAAUUACACGUUUCAGCCCCGAUGACUGUAACAUCUCAUUUUUUAUCGAGAUAUUGGUGAGGCCCUCCAAUUGCAUGUCUGGAAUGAUUGAACUCCCCUAAACUUGUUUAAAACAAAUAUGAAAUUGCAUGACCUGUGCAUUGACUCAAUAACUAAGCAAUGAAUGGAUGACACCUAAUCUAUCUAAUGCACCCAAGCAAUAAAGAAAACGUAUAAUGUAACAAAGCGGAAUAAUAAGAAGGAAAGAGAAUUGGGUUGCCUCCCAAUAAGCGCUAUUUUUAUAGUCUAUAGUUCGACUUUGUUGCUCAGGCUACUCUGCACUAUUAAGAGGUACGGUUGUCUUCUCAUUGGAGUAGUCACCUCCCUAAUAGGCUUUCAACUAUUGUCCAUUCACUUUAAACCUUCUCUGUUCAUCCUGAAAUACUACUUCUACAGCACCAUGUGGAAGCACAGCUACUACUGUGAAAGGACCUGACCACUUAGACUUUAGCUUUCCAGGAAAGAGUUUGAGACGUGAAUUGAACAUCAAUACUUGUUGGCCUACUUCAAAAUCCUUCUCUCUUAUAUGUCUGUCAUGCCAUCUCUUGGUUUUCUCCUUGUAAAUCUUUGCAUUCUCAUAUGAAUCCAAACGAAAUUCCUCUAGCUCAUGGAGUUGUAAAACCCUCUUUUCUCCUGCCACCCUCAUAUUGAAAUUGAACAAAUGAGUUGCCCAAUAUGCCUUCUACUCUAACUCAAUGGGCAGAUGACACGCCUUUCCAAACACCAGUCGAUAUGGAGACAUGCCAAUUGGAGUCUUAAACGCUGUUCUAUAACCCUAAAGUGCAUCGUCUAGUUUUUUAGCCCAAUCUUGCUGGAAGCAUUGACUGUAGCUUUGAGAAUCUUCUUUAACUCCAUGUUGGAGAUUUCCACUUGCCCGCUAGUCUGAGGAUGGUACGGAGUCGAGACACGGUGUUUUACUCCAUAUUUAGCCAACAGCUAUGCAAAAAUUGAUUACAAAAAUACUUUUCACCAUCACUAAUAAUUGCCUUGGGAGUGCCGUAUCGAGUGAAAAUGUUCUUCUUUAUGAACUGAGUUACCACUCGCCCAUCGUUAGUUGGCAAAGCUACAGCUUCAACCCACUUAGACACGUAGUCCACUGCCACUAGUAUGUAUUGUUGACUGUAGGAGGGAGGGAAUGGUCCCAUGAAGUCAAUGCCUCAAACGUCGAAAAUUUCAACUUCCAAAAUGUUGUUUAAAGGUAUCUCAUUCUUCCUUGAGAUAUUUCUAGUCCUUUGACACUGGUCACAAUGUUUCACCAUAUAAUGUGCGUCCUUGAAAAACGUAGGCCAAUAGAAACCCGAUUGUAGUACCUUUGUUGCUGUCUUGGUUGCUGCAAAGUGGCCCCCAUACGGUGCAAAGUGACAUGACUCUAACACUUGAUGCUGCUCUACCUCUGGCACACAACGAUGUAUGAUUUGAUCUGGACCCCUUCUAUAAAGAAUUGGAUUAUCCCAAAAGUACUGUUUUAGGUCACUGAAGAAUUUCUUCUUUUGGUGACUCCAGUAGUCUGGUGGGAUGAUGGAGCGGGCCAAAUAAUUGACAUAAUCGGCGUACCAUGGUGUAGUGAUAAUCUGAAAAAACAUUUCAUCAGGAAAAACUUCAUUGAUCUCCAUUGUAGGGUUUGACUCGUACGAUUCGAGGCGAGAAAGGUGAUCUGCCACAAUAUUCUCACUCCCCUUUUUAUCUCUGAUCUCCAAAUCACACUCUUACAAUAGGAGUAUCCAUUGAAUAAGCCUCAACUUUACAUCCUUCUUGCUUAGUAGAUAUUUUAAGGCUAAAUAAUCCAUAUAGACAAUCACUUUUGACCCAAUCAAGUAUGAUCUGAAUUUGUCAAUGGCGAACACUACUGCAAAAAGCUCUUUCGCUGUAGUCGCAUAAUUCAUUUGAGCCUCAUCCAAAGUCUUACUGGCAUAGUGAAUAACAUGGGAACUCUUUUCCUUUCAUUGACCCAACACCGCCUCCACUGCGUGAUCACUGGCAUCACACAUAAAUUCGAACGGAUAAUUCCAAUCUGGGGAAGCCAAUACUGGAGCAGAAACUAAUUUUUCUUUUAAGAUGUUGAAAGCUGUCAAGCACUCCUCAGAAAAGUGAAAUGGGGCCCCUUUUUCCAGUAGAUUGCAUAAUGGCUUCGAAAUUUUGGAAAAAUCCUUGAUGAAGUGACGGUAGAACCCAGCGUGACCCAAGAAACUUCUAACGUCCUUAACUGUUAUCGGUGGUGAUAGUUUUUCGAUGACUUGUAUCUUAGCUCUAUCAACCUCAAUACCCCGUGCUGAAAUCAUAUGCCCUAACACAAUCCCUUCUUGAACCAUGAAAUGACAUUUUUCCAAAUUUAAUACAAGGUUUGUGUCUUCACAUCUCUGCAACACUUUUCCCAAGUGUUCAAGGCACCCCUUAAAUGAUUUUCCAAACACUGAGAAAUCAUCCAUAAACACCUCAAUAAUAUGUCCCACCAUGUCUGAGAAAAUAGACAUCAUACAACGCUGAAAGGUGGCUGAGCAUUGCAAAGGCCGAAGGGCAUCCUCCUAUAAGCAAAAGUGCCAUAAGGGUAUGUAAGGGUUGUCUUCUCUUGAUCAUCAGGUGCUAUAUGAAUCUGGUUGUACCCCGAGUAACCAUCUAAAAAAGAGUAGUAAGCAUGUCCAGCGAGUCUCUCCAACAUCUGGUCAAUGAAAGGGAGGGGAAAGUGAUCUUUCCUAGUGGCGUUGUUGAGUUUGCAAUAAUCAAUGCGGACUCUCCAACCAGUGACUGUCCGUGUAGGGAUGAACUCGUUAUUUUCAUUUGGGACCACUGUGAUUCCUCCUUUUUUCGGCACUACUUGUACUGGACUGAGCCAAUGGCUGUCUGAUAUGGGAUAGAUUAUCCCUGCAUCCAAAAGCUUUAAUAUUUCUUUUCUUACCACUUCCUGGAUAUUUGGGUUUAAUCUGCGUUGAUGCUCAACUGAAGCUUUGUAAUCAUCUUCCAUCAAUAUCUUGUGCAUGCAAAGCGAAGGGUUGAUUCCUUUUAUGUCUAAUAUCAUCCAUCCUAAUGCUGUCUUGUGCUCCCGAAGUACUCUUAGCAGCUGAUCUUCCUCUGAUUCUGUAAGAUUGUUCGAGAUAAUUACUGGGAGCGAAUUUUUUCCCCCCAGAUACGCAUAGCGCAAAUGAAUGGGCAACUGUUUGAGUUCAAGAGUUGGAGCUUGCUGUAUAGAUGGUAAAGGUUUUGUGGGUCUUUUGCUGAGCUCCAAACAUGGCUACUUGAAAAGUGGUGGUAUGGCUACCAAAUAACGUGCACACUUUUCUACUUCCUCUUUUUCCUAUGGCAAUUCCCGAGAAUGCACCAAGAAAGCCUCAAGCGAAUCUUGAAGGUGAUCAAGUUUGAAUGUCUCUGACACUGCUUCCCUUAUUAUGUCAAUCUGCAUGCAAGAAUCUGGUUCAUUUUGAAAUUUGAAGGCUUUAAACACAUUGAUAGUCAGUUCCUUUUCACUAACCUCAAUAUUAACUGACCCUUUUGCACAUCUAUCAGAGCCCUUCUCGUAGCCAAAAAAUGGGUGACCUAAUAUGAGGGGACGUCCCGAUCUUCUUCCAUAUCCAGAAUAAUGAAGUCUACUAGGAAGAUAAACUUAUCGACCUUGACUAAAAUAUCUUCACAAAUACCUCAUAGGUGCUUGAUCGACCUAUUGGCUAACUGCAGUGAAAUUAUAGUCACUUUUGCUUCCCCCAACCCUAGUUUCCUAAAAAGAGAUAAGGGUAUUAAAUUGAUGCUAGCUCCUAAAUCACACAAUACCUUAUCUAUAUACAAAUUACCAAUAUUACAAGGAAUAGUAAAACUCUCUGGGUCUUUUAGUUUCGGUGGUAAUUUGUGUUGGAGAAUUGCGCUGUACUCCUCAGUAAGCAUGACCGUUUCAUUGUCUUUUAGCUUCCUCUUGUUUGAUAAGAUGCCUUUCAUAAACUUGGCGUAGCUGGGCAUUUGAGCUAGGGCUUCAACGAACGGUAUGUUAAUGUGCAGCUUCUUAAAUACAUCCAAAAAUUUUUGAAAUUGCUUAUCUAGCUUGUGUUUUUGCAGUCUCUGUGGAAAUGGGAUUGGAGGCAUAUAUGCUUUGACAAGAGUGCUAGUCUUAACUCGUGGACUGCCCAAUGACUCGAUUUGAUUUUCCUCUGUUGUUGUUGUCUAAUUCAUCAACUUGCUCUUCACCCGUUGUAGGUGUCUUUUCUGUGAUAGUUGCUAGCUACUUUACAUGUAUUUCUGGUAGCUGGACUCCACUCUGUGUAGUUAUGGCUUUGACCUGCUCCUUAGGGUUUGUCUCGGUGUUGCUAGGUAACGUCUCUUGAGCUCUACCUGAUAGUGCGGCUGCAAUCUGUCCCACAUGUUGUUCCAAGUUCUUGAUUGAGGCCUGUUGAUUUUGAAAAUUGGUCUCAGUUUUAGUAAUGUACUGAGCCAGCAAAUCUUCUAAAGACGGUUUCUUUCCUUGCUGUUGUUGCUGCUGUUGGAACCCCGGUGGUUUAUUCUGAUUGUUACCUCCUUAUCCUUAUCCCUGAUUGCUAGACCACGAAAAGUUUGGAUGAUUUCUCCAACCCCGAUUAAAUGUGUUGGAGAAGGGACUAUUUUGCUGUCUUUGAAAGUUCUACGCAUAGCUCACUUCUUCAGACUGGUUAACAUGUGUAGACACUAGAGGGCAGUGCGUAGUAUUAUGAUCAGCUCCGCACCCUUCACAAACCGGUGGAGAUUGAUGUACAAUAUUAACUGACUGAGAUAGAUUAUCCAUUUUCAUUGUAAGAACUUCCAUUUGUGCAGCCAGUGCAGUUACUGCAUCUACAUUAUGCAGUCUUGCUGUCUUCCUUGGAGUUUCCCGAUCGGUUGGCCACAUCGAUUGAUUCUCAGCUAUUCUUUCAUAUAAGUCAUAUGCCUCAUCCACAUCAAGUUUCAUCACUGAUCCUCCUGCAGAAGCAUCUAUCAUAUUUCUGAAUUCUUGCUUUAGACCGUAGUAGAAUAGAUAUUGCUGAGCCUUUUUAGGGACGUCAAGGUUGGGGCAUUUCCUAAAAAAAUUCUUGAAUCUCUCCCAUGCCUCCGGAUAGCUUUUGAGCUCUUUCUACUUGAAAGUGUGGACUUCAUUCCUGACUUGAUGAACUCGAGAAGGUGGAAAAAAUUUCAUCGUGAAUUUUUGAACCAUAUCGUUCCAAGAUUGAAUGCUCCCAGGUGGUAAACAAAGAAACCAUUCCCUUGCAGUGUCCUUCAAGGUAUGAGGGAAUAAUCUCAUUCGAAAUGCAUCUAUUGAUAUUCCUUCAUGACUGAUUACCUCACAUAGAAUAAGAAAUGCCGAAAUAUGUUCAUGAGGAUUUUCUGUGGCUUUUCCAAAGAACUUGAUGUCUUUGUGAUUUUGGAACAAAUUGAUAACAUCUGGUCUAAGGUGGAAAGUAUGUUGUCCAAAGGAAGGAUAUACUACAGCUGGUUGCACUGGUACAGGAAUUGGAUUGACAUAAUCUCCAACUAAGACAGGGGCUUCGUUUUGGAUAGCUCUCGGUUGAUUUGGCUGCGGUAUUUGCUCGUGAAGCUGGGCCCGAUGUUGUGGUUGAUUUUGGUUAUCGGCCAUUCUCCUUGCUUUACGUUGAACUCUUCUACAAUUUCUAAAUGUUCUUUCUAUUUCGUGAUCUAUUGGAAAGAGAUCUGGUUCCUCAGGAUUUUGCAUAAACUAAUGUCACCUAAAAAGUGUCAAGACAUAAGAGAACUAAGCAGUGUAAUGGUAGCCUAAAAGCAACUACUAAAAAUGAAAUACAAAUAAAAAUAAAAAUACAAAUACAAAUAAAAAUAAACGAAUUUAAAAUAUCUAAUAACUAAAAUUAACACCGUUAUUCCCCGACAACGGCGCCAAAAACUUGUUCGUUACAAUUUCGCAAGCGUACGGGUUCGUAGUACAAGUAAUAAUUGUGAUGAAAGAGUUAUCGUCCCACAGGGAAUAAUGUCUAAUUCCAGUGUAUUCGAUAUAAUUAAAUUCGUGUGAUUACUAAAGAUUGACGUUUGUUUGAAUAGCUAGUUAAGUUCUUCAGCUAAAAAUUUGCAAAAUUUAUGAGAGUUUGUUUUAGAAUUCAGAUGAGUGAAUGUAUUGGAUUUCCGACGCCACUGAUCAACUCUUAGUUCUAAUUCUCAACCUAUGACAAUUAUCUCAACUCAUGCAAUUGUGACGAUCGAUAAUUUCACUUUUCUUUAUUAUUCUUUUCCAAGAUAUAAUAAACCUAUGAUUACCACGAAACGAGCAUAUUUCUAGUCGGAAUUCAUAUGACAAGCACGCAUUGAUGUAUAGGAUUAUCACACAUGAUCGCACACGUCACAAAUAUUAUUCCUAACAUUCAUUGUCCAUGCAUUCCAAUAAUAGUGUUCUACCUACCGUGAGUUUUUUAACACUACGAAUAAGCAACUUAUUGUCUAAUGGUGUGCAAACAUUAAAACAAUAUAGAUAUGCAUAUUAAAGAAACCACAACACAAGAAUUAAGAUAAAAACAUAAGGUCUUGAAUUAGAAACUAAGAGUCAAUCAGUUUUGUCAUCCAUACAAUUGAAAGAUAUCUAGCCUAGCAUACUAAUGUAGGAAAAACAGGAAAAAUAAAAGAACGACAUCAUCCAAAUCAUUAAAGUAUGAAAAGAAUAUGAAAUCCUCCACUUUAUGCCUUCAAUUCCAGAUCCAAGUGAUGAAAUCUUGUUCUUCAAUGUAUAUCCCGCUCUCUUUUUCAUCUUUAUCGGCUUCCAAGAUGAUAAAAAUUAGGUUCCCCCUGUUUUUGUCGACUUUUGGUAUAAAUAUCGUGCAAAGAAUUGUAAAUCAAGACUUUCCAAAACAAAAUAAGGAAACAUAUUUUUUUUGUCGGUACGCAUGGUUCAUUUUGUGCAUAUGUAUAGUAGCCUCAAUUGAGUUUCGGAAGUUAAAUUUUCCAAUCGUGCGUAUACAUGACCUGCAAGCCUAUGCGUGCGCACAGUUCAAUUAUUUUAGGGACCAAUUUGCAAUUUGGUCCCUAAACUUUCUGAAGUGUUUGUUUUGGUCAUUUCCCAAAAUUUCUUGUCCCAUUAGCUUCUCUUCAACUCCAAUUGACUCUUGGUGUUCUCAACUCAUCGUUCUUUGGUCCAAUUCAACUUUUGGAUUAUUGCAUUCUAGUCCCCAAACUUUGGCUUGAUGUAAUUGAGUCAUUUUUCUCGCUUAUUUUCUUUAUUCUCGUAUCUUCCAUUUAUUGUAACCUACACAUAAUAUAUAAAUAGGAUUAAGCCAUAUUCCAUCAAAUUUAUUAACAAAUACUCAAUUUUAAUGGCCUAAAUAAGUGUAUUUCAAUUUGAGUCUGUUCAUGUAGAUUUUGAUUACUAAAAUCAAUUUCAGAGAUAACAAAGUCUUUAUUUGAUAUUUCCUCUUCAAUUUUGUCACCAAGACAUGGAAAUACAGGUUCAUUAAAGACUAUAGAUUUGCUGGUCAUUACUCUGUGCCCUUUUAUUUCUUUAAUCCAGAGUCUAUAGCCUUUUAUUCCUUCCCCAUAUCCUAAGUAAACACAUUUCAUAGAUCUCGAAUCAAGUUUGGACUCAGUUUGAUGAGCAUAGGCUGCUCACACAAAGGUUCUUAAAUGAGAAUAAUCAGGAACAGAUCGUGACCACAUUUGUUUAAGGAUUCUUUCACCUAUUGAACUUGAAGGACGUAUAUUUAUCAAAUAACAAGCAGUUUUAACUGUCUCUCCCCAAAAGAUUUUUGACAGUCUUGAACUAAUCAGCAUGCAUCUUGUCCUUUCUAAGAUUGUUCUAUUCAUUCUCUCAGCAAUUCCAUUUUGUUGAGGGGUAUAGGUCACAAUUCUAUGCCUAAGAAUGCCAUGAUUACUUCAAUACUAAUCAAAUUCAGUGUUACAGAAUUCUAGCCCAUUGUCAGUUCUUAAGAUCUUAAUUCUCUUACUUGUUUGAUUUUCUAUUAAGGUUUUCCAGUCCUUAAAGGCCAAGAAAGUGUCUGACUUUGAUUUUAAUAAGAAAAUCCAGACCUUUCUGGAAUAAUCAUCAAAUGGUCAGAAGAUAAUACCUAUAGCCAGAUGCUGUAGGUACAGGAGCAGGCCCCCAUAGGUCACCAUGGAUGUAUUCAAGUAUAUUCUGUGACUUAUGUAUUCCAGUCUUAAAGGGCAUUCUAUUCUAUUUUCCCAUAAUGCAGUGUUCACAAAAGGUUAAUCUUUGAACUAUAUCCCUUCCAAACACACUUGCCUUUGAAAGAGAUUUUUGGCCUUUUUCACUAAGAUGGCCUAACCUUUUGUGCCACAAGUCUGAUUUAUCAUUUUGUGUCACCAAGUUUGCAGUGUUGUUAUCAACAUCAGAGGUUAUGGUAUAAAUUCCAUUGAUCUUUAGUGAGCUGACAAGAAGUUUCUGAUUUUUAAUUAUAUUUGUAAAACCAUUUCUAAUUUCAACAUGAUAAUUUUCAUCAUCUAAAACUCCCAAGGAGAUUAGAUUCCUUCUAAGUGCUGGAACAUACCUAGUAUGAUUCAGCCUUAGAAACUGACCAUUUUUCAAUUUCAGAAUAAUGUUGCCAAUUCCUUUAACUUGGCAAGACUCAUUAUUCCCUAGUUUUACAAAUCCUUCAUUAAGACUGGAGAAAUCAGAAAACCAACUGAUAUUGGGACUCAUGUGAAAGGAAUAACCUGAAUCAAUAACCCAAUCUUGAUCAGGUUUUUUGAUAAAAAAAACAUAUGCUACCCCAAUAUCAGCAUUUGCUUCCUUAUAAGAAGCAGCAAUAGCAGAAGUACCAUUAUCAUUGUUGGACCUUUUUCCUAAAUCAUUUGCUUUCUUAUAACAAUCUUUAAUUAGGUGUCCAACUUUCCCACAAUAGUAACAAUUUCGAUUCUUAGCCUUCCCUUUGUACACUUUCUUAUCCUUUCCUUUGUUAUUUCCUCAUUUCUUCUUAGAGAAGUUUUAUCCUUAUUUUGAUAGCCUUGACUAAAGUUAUUCAAGGCCUUUGUUAGGAAUUUAGGAUUGGAUGAGGCCUUUUCAGCAUGAAGAACUUCCUUUGGUUCAGAUUUAAGUUCCAAUUCUUUGUUCCUGAUAGAGUCAUGGAUUAUUUCAAUAGUAAGAUCACUCCUACCAUAUUCUAAGGCAUUUCUAAUGUCCUUAUUCUUAUCUCCUAGGUCAUUAAGUAGACCAACUACUUUCUGACCAUCAGAGAUCUUUUCCCCACAGGUAGUUAAGUCUUGAAUGAUCUUAUUAAACCUAUCCAUAUUCUCUUCUAGAUCUAGAUUAGGUUCAAACUUAUGACUGAAAAAUUGUUUCUACAAAAAACAUUUAUUGGGCAUAGACUUAGUAAUAUAUUGUUUUUCUAUGGCUUGCCAUAGUUCUGCACCAGUUUCAGUCUUUCCCACCUUCCUAAUUACAUAAUCAGACAGGUGAAGAAACACAGUACUCCAAGCUAAUUCAUCUUGUUCAAUCUUCCUAUUCUCAGAUAGAGUCAAUGGCUCACACAUUUUAAUUGCAUUAAGAGUGCUUUCAUUUUUUGGCACCAGAGACUAAAGUCUCCUUUGCCAUCCCAGUUCUGAACAUCUAUCUUAGUAGUCAUGCUGUACAGAAGUGUACUAAUUUUCAAAAAAGGAUUCAACAAGAAAUCAGAAAUUAAUGUACAAUUGAGAAGUACAAUAUCAAAGUGUUCACACUCAGUAGACACUUAUAGCCAGGGUUCAGAUCAUACAUUAACAGUCAGGUAUACAGAUUUAUACACAGAGUAUAAACACUAUAUGAGCAUCACUUGCAGUACAAUUAUUUUCAACAGUUCAGGAACACAUUUCGGAGAGUACACCAAGUACUAUAUAUGAUACAAUAUAGAAAAGAAACAGCGUAGAAAAACCCUCAUGAAUUUUCCUAAACCGAACCCUGAUUUCCUCAGAUUCUAGGGGUCUCUCAGGGAUCCCUAGACAAAGGAAAAUCUAGGAGGGUUUUCAAGAAUCCCUAAGAAAUUUCUUUUAAAGAAUGAUUUAAAAAAAAGAUUUCCAAAAACAAAUAUGAAAUAGUUAGGGUUUUCUUUACCAAUUGCAGACAAUAUAUAAGAUACUCAAUGAAUACCAUAGAUCAACCCAAGGCUCCAGUCGAAGGUUCCUUACACACUGUAAAGUUAACAAGAAAACGUUAGAUCUACAGAUUUAAAAAAUAUAUAAAUCGAAGAGUCACAAAAAUAGAUUGAAAAUAAAAAUUUCAGAUCCUUUAAAACGAAGAUUUUGCAUGCUCUGAUACCACUGUCAGUCUAAGAUAAGUAUUUUUGUGACUCGGUUGACGAUUAAACGUAAAAGAAUUAAAAUAAUUUGCAAGAAAUUAAGAACAUAGCAAUUUUCGACCCUAAGGCCCUGAGGUUCGGCUAACGCCUACUUCCCAUUGAGCAUUCGUUAGGAUUUUGCUCGAAUCCACUAGAUCAACUCAAAAACCAGGCAAAGUUACAAGCACAGAAUGAACUCCAAGACUUUCGCCUCUCGAAAUACACAGAUCACUCUUAAGAUUACAUAAUAUUCCACAAAGGAAUGGAUCUCUUCACCCUCUAAACAUAUUAUCAUAAUUUCACUCAGAAAUUACACUUGAUACAUCACAGAAGAUGAAUAUUCACACAGAUUAGAAGAAGAGCAAUCGAGAGAUUAGGGUUAGGGUUUGAGAGUAGGGGUGGGCGCGGGUCGGUUCGGUUCGGUUCUCUUUAGAACCGAACCGAACCAAACUUUUCGGGUAUCUAGUAAAUGGAACCGUCGGGUCCAAAUAUAAUUAUGGAACCGUUCGGGUUCGGUUCCAUUCGGUUCGGUUCGGAUCGGUUCGGUUCCGUUCGGUUCUGUACUAUAAUUAAAUUUUUUAACAUUUAUAACAACGUUAUAUAAAUACGACUAAUGAUACAUUCAAUAGUUUUGGAAUGUCAGAGAUUAGUAAACUAUCUUGUUCAAAUGAUCGCUACGAUCAAAGCUUCAGUCGGGGAAAGUCACGGCUUCGAUCGGAGGUCAGAGUGUCGGCCGACGAUUGUAUAGGUUUUGAAAUAUUAGAUAGGCUGCGAGAGUGAGUGCGAGAGUCGAGACAACGUUAUACACUUUAUUGUAGGUGCUUAGGGUUAUUUAGUGGAUUUGAUUUGUUUGGCUAAGAAAUGAAACAAUAAAAUGGGUAAUUGGGCCAAAAAUUAAAAAAUUAGAAAUGAAACAAAUUAUUGGGCAAAAAAUUUGGAUUUAGAAAUCAUUAAUUUGUUAAUUUGUUUAGAAAAAAUUAAAAUUAAAAUAAUUUGAUUUACUCAAUAUAAAAAAAAAUAGAAAGAUUCGGUUCUUAUUCGGUUCUUCGGUUCUUGGUCUAGAACCGAGAACCGAACCGUACCCGUCGAUUCUCUAUACUUCCAUUGAAGUAUUCAUUCAAGAUGAGUACUUGGAACAUAUUAUUUAUAUCCAUGAAAUAUUCUUGUUUGCUUGCUUUUUGUGACUAGUAAACAAACAUACUAUAGAUUUGGAUUAGAAAAAUAAACAUUGUUGGGUGUAUAGUUUCAUUUUCAUCUGCUUAGAGAGUGUAACUGUACCUUUGGAUUUCAAUUAAAAAAAUAUAAUGUUCGUUACAAGGCCUAAUUUUCACUUUGGUAGCAUAGGACACAAUCAACAAAAGAGAAGAUUAUUGAGUCUCUAGAAUUUCUUGCUUUAUUAUAUAUAGGAGAUAUGCUCUAUUAUCAUUAUUUUUUAAUAAAUUUGAAGUCAGCAAGUGAUUUCUUGAACAUAACAUAUAAAUUACGAACACAUAAUAACAAGACCAACUUGGUCUGAACUGGAAAGGCUGCAACUCUCAAAAGGGAGGUCUGGGUUUGAUCUACUCCAACUUGGCAAAAGAAGUUUUGAAAUUGGCCAAACCUAGUCAAUUUGGACGGUGGUUUACAAUCGAUUUUCCAGUCAGAACGGCUGUUCCAGUCCGGGCAUUAACAAUUAUUGGACAACCAACAUUUCUAGGGUAUUCUUGUGUUCUUAUGAACAAAAAAAAGGCGUAUUUUGGUAUAUGGUAAAGCCUCAAAUUGACGAGGAUUAAAAUCAGAAUUUUAAUAGAUUUUGAUAAAAUUUGAUGAAAUAUGUGGUUAGAAAGCUGUCGAUCCUAUAAAUAUAUUUUGUACACACUUUCAAUGUCCAUUUAUUACGCAAUUGCUAGUGAUCUUGAGGAUCUAUUAAUUUUUAUCAUGUUUUCAUGUUAUAGGAUUAAUCUCGAGCUCAAGAAACACAUUGGCAAAUAAUGAGCAUUAAACAAUGGAAUGAUUGAACUUUUUAAAUGAUAAGGAGAAGAUUCAUAAACUUUUUUGAGGAUAAAAUGCUCUAAUCAAUAGAAAUAUUGAUAAAAUGCGCAACAAAAUAAAAAUAUAACCAACCCCAAUAAGAAAGCCUUACAUUAAACUAAAUUACUUAGCUUCUAUUUGGUAAGAAUUUUUAAAUUGUUAAAUCUGGAAACAAAUAGAAAAAUUGCUGUAUAAGUGGACAAUAUUUGUGAGAUCAUUGAAAAGUGCGAUAUAAAUGAAGUUUGCUAAUCUAUAAAUGACUUAUAAAUCACUUAUAAACUAGCCAAAUUGAUGCUUAAAUUGCCACUAAUUAAAAUAAUUAAGUAAAUGAUGAUAUUAUUAAAACCACAUUUUUAAAUAAAUACAGCAUAUUUUAAUUAUAUUGAAAGUCAUUAACCUUUAUUCAUUAUCACAUUUAUAUCCUAAUUAUUUUUUCUUCAUCACAUUCUGAUUUCUAACAUUUCAUCAAGUGAAAAUAUUUUCCUUAAUCAUGAUUUUUGUUCAAAAAUAUCGUUGAUGUUCUUUAAAAUGAGGGCUAAAUAUUUUAUCACAUUUUUGCAUUAUUAUUUGUUUUUCUUAUUUAAAAAUACAAUGGGCAAACUAUGUUGAUUUUAGAAUAAGAAUGCAACAAAAUAAAUGUGAGACAUAAAUAUAAUAAUGUAUACAUGUUAUAAAUCUUUAAUGCAUUUAAAUUAUAGUAUAAUUAUUAAAAACUAAUGAUGUGAAUAUAUUAGCCUUAAGUACAAGGUAAUGACACCGACACCACAAUAUAUUUGCUACACCGUAUUUUAACAAUAAUAAAGUUCACUUCGUUGGUUAAUUGUCGCAUUUAUGUCCUCAACUUUUUUCUUUUGUAGUCUUAUCAUUUGAGACACAAGUAUGAUAAUUUAUAAAUGUGAUAAAUCUUUCAUGCAGUUGAAAUAUAGUCUAACUAUUAAAAACUAAUGAUGUGAAUAUAUUAGCCUUGAGUAGAAGGUAGGGGUGGGCGUUGUUGGGUCGGUCCGGGUAUUUCAAUACCCGGAACCACCCAUUAUAUUUCGGGUAUUUUGUAAAUAGAUCCAUUCGAUUCCACGUAAUUAUUGGUCCCAAACCCAAACCCGAACCAUCGGUUCUGGUUUGGGUUUGAUUCUACUCAUAACAUUUUUUUGAAUACACAUUUAGUAAAUCCAAUCAUGUAAUUAGAUAAAUUAUUCACAAACUAUCCAUCAUGUCAUAGAUUUAGUAAUUGACAUUAAUGGACUAAUCAUCCAAGACAUAAACAGAGCCUUAACGAAUUAUAAAUUACACAAAAAUUUAAUAAAACUAGCCUUAAAAGAGCAUUAAAAACUAGUCAGAAUUUAAAAGAACUUUAAUAGGAGUAUAGGACAACAUAAGGGGCCCAAAAAAAUCGAGUUUUUUGAAGUAAUCAUAUCGAUAACCAAGAAAAAUUCAAAUAAAGACUUGAAGAUAACAUAAUAGGGAAGAAUAUGUAUGUAUUGCAAGAGCUACAAAAAUUACUUAUGGUGUCGGUGCAAUAUACGAAGUUAUUGUAGCAAGAAUAAUGUUGACGAGAAGGAAACGCAAAGAGGGAACUGGGAAAGAAGGGCGACAAGGGAUUCUGGUGAUUAAAAGAGGAAAAAUGUGUUAUUAUCUUUACAGAUUUGGUUUUCGGUUAUACCUAAAUUGUUUUUGGGUAAGAUAUAUGUAUUUGGACUUAGGUUAGGUAACUAAAAGGAAAAAAAUCAUAUGUCAGGUGAAUUGUUUACAUCAAUUCACAAAUCUGGUACAAAGUUUAAAAAUUCAAAAUUCAGGUUUCUGUAUAAUUAAUUAAAAAUAUUUAUUAAUUAAAUAUAAUAAAGUCACAGUUACACGAUUAAUUGCCAUAGAUUUAGAAUUAUUGGUCAUAGAUUUACUUAUUGAUCACAUUUCAUUGAAUUAAUUGGUUACAAAUUAUUUCGAGAUUACAAAUCAAAAAUUUUGUAGGUCACAAAUUAUUUCAUUGAUCACAGAUUAAAAUUUUGUAGGUCACAGCUCACAUCAUUCGUCACAAAUUUAAAAAAUUAUAGGUCACAGGUCACAUAUUUUCAAAUUUGAUGGUCACAAAUUACUUUUUAAUGACAAGUGAUCGAAUUUUAAUGUCACAGUUUACGGUCACAAUCACGAUCACAGACAUCCAAUAUCUAAUCUUGACACCACCACCGCGUCCACCGCCACCAACACAACCACCACCAGAAAUCAUCACAGCCACCAGGACCACCACGACAGCCAGAAAACACCUCUAAACACACAACAAUAUACCAUCUCCCAACAUUACUAACACAACUGCACCCAUAGUAACACCAAUCAGAAACACCACCGCCACCACCACCACAACCACUAACAAACACUCCUAUCCCAUGGCGUCCCACGACAACCACCGCCACCACUUCCAUGACCACAACCACAACCAACAUUACAACCACAUCCCCCCAAAACAACCAACAAUUAGAUCCUACUACCAACAUCAUCAUCACAACCAUGGCCAAGAUCUGAAAAUACAACCAACAAAACUCCAAAAUCAUUACCUACAUAUCAAAAAGUGAAGGAGAUAACACCCAAAAUCACUACCUACUGAACGUAGAAGAAGGUUAAGGUCAUGAAUUUGCUUCGACAACCAAUCGACAAUCAUCACCGCUCUUUGCAGUAUCUAUAGCGACGCCGACGUUGCGAGCCACCAUGCAACAAUGCUCACAGGUUUGGAGGAGGUCGUCGCUAUGACGCUGUGGUCUCCGACGGCGGCGGUUGCUCGUGUGAUGGAGAGGAUAGAGAGACGAGAGGGAGAGAGAGAAUGAAGGAUGGACUGAAAUGAAUUUGAAUUUUAGGGUUAGGUUUAUACCGAAUAUUUGAUCAGAAAAGUUGGGCCCAUGAUUUAUAAACUUGAAAGCCUUGGGACGAUGUAAUUUCCUCUAACUAAAAUGGGCCAAAAGCUUUGGAAUGGAUAUUUUCUUUGGGCUGAAUUGAGCAGCCUAUUUAGUGUUUAAGUUAUAAAUAUUAAAUUUUGUAAUUUUUUUUAUGCAAUCUACUAAUUACUAAAAAUAAAAAAUCGGUUUCAUUCGGUUACCCACGUUCCAAUUCAAGAACCAAGAAUUGAACCAGACCCACUCGGUUUUCGAUUUUCGGUUUUGAUUCCUAUUUAUUUCUUUCAAGAACCGAAUUGGAACCUUUGGUUUCGGUUCGAUUUCAAUUCAAGAGAUUCGAUUUCGAUUAAAAUGGCCACCCCUAGUAAAAGGUAAUGAUACUUACAUCACAAUAUAUUUGCUACUAGGGCUGCACAUAAAAAUCGCGAAAUCGCAAAUCGAAUCAAAAUCGUUGAAUUGAAACAUUGGUUCAAGUCCACGUGGACCUACGAUUUUUCCCUUCAAACUGAACCAAACUGUUUCAAAAUGGUUUGGUUUAGAUUUCAAUUUUUAAAAAUCGCACAAAAUCGAACCAAACCACUUUUAAAAAAUUUAAUUAAAACAUUAAUUUUAUUAACUUAUAAAUUUUAUAGUUUUCACUUUUUAGAAAAAAGAAUAUCAAUUUAGCAAUACAAAUUACAAACAACCCAUUGAAAUAAUCAUAGAAAGUAAAUUAAGUUCAUUAUUAUUGGCUACGGUUUAACAAAUUUACAACACGUUCUCACAAGAUAUCUAAACCAAUUUAAAUUAUUCCCAAAGCAUAUGAAAUGAAAAAAAAAAUAAUAAUAAAAAGACAUAUGUUUUCGACAAUCCAAAUCAUUACUCAACAAAACUACAAAAGCAAAUCAUGUCAAAGUUUCUGAAGCUCUAAUGUAAACUUUUAUUUCCCAAACAUUUGUCAUUUGUCUGUCAUUGCUGAACGAAUAGGGCAAUCACAUUUUGCCUGUUAGUCUGCUAUUUCUUACAUGAAUCACCUCUUUCUCUUUUCUCUUUCGGUAAGUUUCAAAUUUUUCAUUCAAGCAAUUUUUCCAUUACUCUUCCUUUUAUUUGUUUUUUCAAACUUCUUAUAUACUUAUGAGUUGUAUUUUGAAUGGAAAAAAUGACUAUUUGUGUGCUUAGAUGAUUAAUGAACUUGUGUGGUUUGAAAAAAAUGAAGAACAGAGUUUAUGGAUUGUGUGAAAAUGUUAAAGUUCCCUAACUAUUACUAUUACCUUCUACUUUCAUAAAAUAGUUAGAAAAUGAAAUUCGUCAAUCUCCAAUAAACCUAAACUCUAUCAAACUUGGUACAUCUAAAGAUAUUCUGUUCAAUCCUUAUUUAACAUCUCGCUAACAAGACGAAAGAAUUUUAAUCAAACUAUAAUAACAGAAUGUAAUUUUACCUUUAUCAACUGCUAUGUGACAAUUUGAAAGUCAAACAAGAAAAUGUAAAUAAAAAUAAAGAAAGAUUUAUUUGUUUUAUUAACAUCUUUUAGUAACCAACUUUGAGAAUAAUUUAUUCAUGAAUUUUAUGGUAAAUAUGAAUAUAUUUAACAUGUAACAUUAUUAGCUCGUUUAAACUUAAAUGUUAACUUUUUAAAAAUAUAUUACUAUAAUGUCGAUGGAUAAAUCGUGGAUUAAAAUCGAAUUGAAUCAAAUCGCAAAUUAUGGUUUGAUUCGAAAAAUAAAAUGGUUUGACUUGGUUUAGAAAAUUUCCAAACUGAAUGAAAUGAUUUGAGUUAAAAAUAUGAUGCAAACCACCCAAAUUGAACCGCGUUCACCCCUAUUUGCUACACCAUAUUUUAACAAUAAUAAAGAUCACUUCUUUUGCUUGUUGUUGCAUUUAUGUCCUCAACUUUUUCCUUGGUAAUUUUAUCAUCAAACCCCCGUUAAUCAACACAUUGUCAAUUUUCGUCUAAAUAUGUGUAAAGAGCAUAAAAAAAACUUCAACGAUUACCAAAGGCAUUUGUCUGUGCCAUUCAAAGUUUGCAUUCCUUUCUUCUUUCCCUGUGCCAAUUCCUUGUCCAUUGUUCAAUAUAGAUUCGAAAUCAUGUCUUACAAUCUACUAUCUGUCUACAAUUCUUCGCUGCCUUCUCAUAAUUUGGAUCACAUCCACUCUCGUUUUCACUCAUUUACAUAAGUCAACUUUCAAAUAAGAGAAAAAAUAAUAAAUAUAUAAGCUUGACAAAAAAACUUUCUUUCAUUUAAAACCAUGCUAACAGAAUAUUUAGAUAGAAGCUGGCAUUAAAAAUAAGAUGUACUAAUUAAUUGAAAACAAGAAAGCAAUGAAAAAGUUUCGGAACACAGGUACAACAAUUAAACCACUGAUAGUAUCAUUAAGUAUAAAUGCAAAGCAAUACAAAGGCAUGGAAAAAGCUAAUCAAACAAAAGUGAAAUUCAUCAUCAUCUGUAUUUGUUAGUCAUGGAUGGUCGGCUUUUAAGUUUACUUAUAAACAUGCCGGGACCAUAGGUGGAUAGGGCUAUAUUCCGAAACAAAGGAAGCUCCAAUAUUGUAAACAAGAAAACUGGAAUGCAAGCCGAUACCAUCAUUAGGAUGAAAACCCAGUCAUAUGUUUCAUCAACAACAAUCGUAAAUGCUGCACCAAAUGCUGUCAUCAUAGAGGCUAUGGCUACAAAUAGUGAAGCAAAACCAAGUGCAUAUCUCCUAAGCAUUAACUCGAGAAAAUCUUUUCCUGCACAUCUCGCAGUUAGGAUAGAUAAGAAUAAAAGGAGGGAAGAAAUGGAGGAAAAUAGAGCCAAAGACUCUGCUACGACAAAAACCACAAAUUUUUUAUUCUUCAAAAGAUAGGGAUGCCAUUAUCAGUUGUGUUUCCUCCUGGUACAGUAAAAAUUGCAGCAAACACAACUGUGGCUAUGAGAGUAGUAUCACCAUGCAUGAGUUUGAUGUAUCCUUCAUCCAUUGUUCGCUCAUUUCGAGCAAAUCUUUGUGAGUUUCUGUGAACAAUUCCCUUGGUGUUUUUCCUUGUGAGUUCAUUUGCCACUUAUAUUUAUCGUUCACCAUUUUUUCCACCUCCUGCAUUGCAUGAAAUUUUAAGGAUGCUAAAUUUAUAAAUGUCGAUUAGUUUGUAUUGAUGCCUAGAGGAAAUUAAUACCUUAAACCACUGUAAUUCUCUCUGCAUUUGAAAAGCAGGACCCAUAACAGCAUUGAGUUGAGGAGAUGGUGCCAAUUUGGCUGCCAUAUGCAAUGUAUUGUUUGAGUCAUUAUCUAAUCCAGAAGCUAAAAAUGUAUUCCGUGCCGUCUCAUCGAUCAGAAGAUUGAAUAACUUCUCUCGACGAUGCUUGAUAGCUACUUGCAAUAGAGUAUGGUUACUGUAUUUGUACCAAAGUAGAUCUGAUACAUAGUUCAAAGUUGCUUCUACAAUUUCGACUACUCCUCUCACCGUGGCAACAUGUAGAAUUCCGCCAUCCAAGAAGAAGUAUAGAGUUUGCUCAUUAUCUAAUAAUACAGCUUGUUUGCAAACAAAUUCUAUUAGUUCAAAACACUGUUUGUGUACCAGCUUUCGACCAUACACAUGCUUCAAUCUUGGCUCUGCAAAUGAGAAAUUAAAAAACUGAACUUUUGAGUCAUUGAAAAUUAAUGUAGUAAUUGCAAUAAUUUAUCAUUACUUGUACAGCUUUACAUAACCAUCCGACUGCUGCAAGAAAACUGGCUUAGCUUAGUUAAGUUGCCAAAGCAGAACCACAAAACUAUAAUAAACCUGCAUUUUUUCCUAUAAUUUACAUGGAGCAAUCACCAUGAUGCUUUUAAAGUAAAAAAUAAAAGUUGAAAAUUUUGAUGUGGUCUAAAACAAGCACCAAGUCAAUGAUACAAAAUAUUUAAUACUUAUGUGAUUAAGAUAGGCUUUCUAGGAAGCAAGUCAUUGCUUGUACUUUAUACAUUUUGAUAAUCAUCUUAGAGUAUAUAUUUUGUUGUAUGUGGAUGAUACUUUAUUGGCAGGUAGCAACUUAAAAUAUACAAGAAAACAAAGGUUAGUUAAAACUUGAGUUUGAAAAGAGAGAUUUGGGUCUAGCCAAAAGAAUUCUAGGCAUGGACAUAACAACAGAUAGAACGUGUUCUUCACUUUUUCUAUAUCAGAAAAGUUCUCUCAUAAAAUUUUGGAAAGAUUUCAUGCUGGAAUCAAACUCUGCCUUUUGCUGAAAUUUUUUUUUUUUUUUUGGCUGAACAUAAGACAGCAAUAGAUGCCGAGAAAAUGUUAAAUAUACCUUACUAUAGUGCUGUUAGAUCUAUUAGUGUAUUAAGAUGAUAUAUGUCCAAUCCAAGUAUUGAACACUGAGAAUCUUCAAAAUGGCUUCUCAGAUACAUGAAAAGCACAUUAGAUUUUGGUUUAGUUAAGCAUUGCAAAGAUGGUAUUAAACUUGAAGGGUAUGUUGACAGUGAAUGCAAGUGACAAAGAUAAAAGAAUGCGAACAUCAAGUCUGAUUUGCAAUAGGUUGUGGCUCUUUCAACAAUUGAAGUUGCGUAUAUAUUUGCAAUUAAAGUUUGAAAAAUAAAAAAGCAAUUUCACUCCAAGAAUUGAAUCUAAUUGAAAAGGAAGUAAAAUUGUUUUCAGAUAGCCAAUCUGUUCUUUAUCUUGUAAAAAUCAUGUAUAUCGCGAGAGAACUAAGAAUCUCCAGAGCUAAAUUGAAAUUAAGACUGUUAACUUUUGUUUAUUAUAAGCCAUGGAAAAGGAGUAGCAAGCACUUACGUGAAUAAAUGAAUCUCUCCCAAAAGCUAUGUCUACUUCCACUUGGGAAUGAAUGAGGGUGCCCGGAAAGCACAUGCAAUAUUGUUGUCUCUGUUUCAUCUCUUGCAGUAGCCAAAUGCGAAUACCCGUGAAGAAGAUCCAAUGUAAUGUCUGGGAAAAAAAUAAAAAAUACAAAAUGAUAAUAAUAAUAAUUGGAGAAACUCGAACACAAUAUAUGCAUAUAAAAGCAUAAAAAUGCUAAAAAGAUGUUGACAUUCCUUUUUUCCUAUGACCAGUCCGCAAUUAGUUUAUUGGUACCCACCCACAGAUGUAAUUUUUGACUUCAGAGGAUAUCAUCAGCUUGGGGGUUUGGAACAUCAAGUUUUUGGAUCAAAAAAUUUGAAGUUUGUGAUAUAGAUCCAGAUUAAGAAUUAAUCAUCGAAUUUGGAUAAAACUUCGAAUAAUUCUUUCUUAAUAUAACAUACAUGUAGAAAUUAAUAUUCUUAUUCCACUUUCCAACAAUUGCUACUCCAUUAAAUUGUCCGAUGCAGUGCCAGUGAUUAUCCAACUAAUUAGUGCAAAGAGAAGGAGAAGUAAAGCCUAGAUCGAAGCUCAAUCCGUGAAAUUGAUUUUUCUUGAAAUAGUUUCAGAGGCACUAAACAUAGAAACCUGCAGCUGCAAUACCCAAAAUUAGCGAACUUGAACAAGGACCAGUAAAGGCAUAGCGCGGAUGCUCAUCUGUAGUCAACGUAGAAAGGUACCAUAAUAUUUCCUUACGUGCACCCCAGUUAGCAGCAAAGAAAAACGGGGUCUUUCCAUCAAUGUCUGUAGCUAGAGGCAGAGCCCAGUUUUUUCUACCAAUGCAUUACUGUGGCAGCAUCUACAGUUCCCCCCACAGCUGCAUAGUGAAGUGCGGUGCAACCCCUUUUGUCUUGUGCAUUGAGUGCAGCAGUCGGCAUUAGGUCUGCCAGCUUCUCCACAAAUUCGGACUGGGAGCUGCUGGCCGCCACAUGAACUGCCGUCAUUCCUUGGAGUGAGAUUACCUCUGUCAAUGCAGCACCAUGAUUGUCGAUGAUACUUUUAGCAGUAACCCAGUAGCCUUCUUUUGCAGCUAGAUGCAAGGGUCGGUAGUAAUUAAGGUUCACUUCAGGACCUUUAUUUAGCACAUUGCGAUUUUCAAAAUUAGUGAACUAAAAUGUUCACUCUAUUUAAAAUUUUAUAGUAAGUUUUAUAAUUCUUACCCAUGAAGAAUGUUGGUGCCGGCCAUUUGGGAGGAGCUGCUGGCCUCUGUGCAUUUAGUUGGUGACUUCCAUCAACGUCUAACAAGUUAUUAGUAUUGUUACGUGUUGUCAUACUAGGCCAAUAUACGUGGGCCUAUGGCCCACUCAAUCCAAGCCACGGUGGCACUCCAGCCGAGGUGGUAUGUAUGGCCGAGGCUCGUCAUGCCGAGGCCCAUAUACUGAGGCCUUUAAUGUUGCCAAACUCCAUAUGCCGAGGCCUGUGGAUAUUUUCGAAGCCCUAAAGCGGAAGUAAUACAUGAGUGGCAGAAGCCCCCGAACCAUGAAGGAACUUCUUCCAUGAUCAUCUCUCCCAAGAGAUCUUCUACAUGAAAAUCUUGUUUAAAUGAUUGAUGGAACGUUUAUCAUGAGUGCAUAUGUCAAGUCUUAUCACUAGCAUGGGGGUUCUGCACAAGCAAUAAAUACACAGCAAGCUAGCAAGUCAAGGAUGAUGCCUAGGAUUGAAUGUUUGAAUUAAGGAGAUGAGGCCACGUGCCACCUCAUCUAAGGUCUGUCAUUUCACAUGUAACACUAUAAAUACUUUCCCUGUAUAACAUUGAAAGGCUAAUGCAAGAAUCAAUACAAGAAACCACAUUUUACUCUCUUAUUAUCUUACAACACAAACGAGUUCAUACAUAUUUAGAUAUACAUUUACAAACGUCGAUUGGUAAUUAUUGUACAAUCGGAUUAAGAACGUCUCAUCGGAUUCCGAACUUUCUCAUCCCACGUUGUUGAGGUACUCCCACGCCCCCAAUUCGUUCGUUCUAGACCAUCCACGUGUCUUAGCGUGUAGGACCUUCGCUCACGUGUGUGCCGGUGGGUCUCGCAUCUGUUGGCAACACUUUUUGGGGUCAACAGAUUGACACCGUCUGUGAGAAACCAUACCAUAACCACGAACAAUCUUGUGGUGGAAGCUUAUUGAAGAACAUUUGGGCAACCCCUUUGAAAAAGGGAUUUGUUCUUGGAAAAGAACAAGAGGAAGCCCCACAACUUAGCAAAAUCUGAAGUCAGACAAAUAAAUGAGUUCAAACGAAGACACCCCCCAGAAGAGUAAGAGAAAAUGCAAAUGUACCUCAUCCACCCGCUGCCCAAACAGCCCGGCAAAGACUCCACCACCACCAAAGAAGGGGUGGAAUGUGGGAAACUCCUCAGGCACAGAAAUGAAUCGCUCCAAGCAAACAGGCCCCCGCCCAGGCACGACAACCAAUGUGGGCACGAGGAGGCUGCUUUUCAUCAAAGGGAUGUUUCCCCACGAUGAAAGGAGAGUGAGACAGAGAGGCCCAGGGAAGGACACAGGCACCGAAGAAACUGACAAAUCCAGAAUGAGGCCCCUAUCCAUGAGAUAGAUACCAUAUUUGGAGGCCCUUAUGUUGGCAGUAAAAAAUGAAACGCCAAAAGGAAUUACGCCCGGGAGGCUAAACACCCCCUUUUGACAAGUUACAUUGUGGACAGCAGCUCCUGGAGGAACCAAGUUCUACCUAUUGUUUCACUCAGGAAGACGUCGAAGGAGUUCACUUUCCCCAUUGCAAUGCACUUGUUGUGAGGGCCGUCAUAGCUCGAAAUGGUCUCAAGCGAAUGUUAGUUGACAACAGUAGCUCUGUCAACAUUCUAUUUGGAUCCGCCUUUGACAAGAUGAUAUUGGAUCAUCAGUUGACACCCACCACAACUCCUCUAUAUGGAUUCACAAGAGAUAGCAUCACUCCAAGGGGAAAGAUAACGCUUGCAGUGGAGAUGGGGGAGUCUCCCCAAACUAUGAUGAACUUCAUGGAGUUCCUCAUUGUCGACAGUCGAUCGGCUUACCAUGGGGUAUUAGGUAGGCCAACCCUAAAGGAAUUGAGAGCAGUCACCUCCAUCCACCACCUAUACAUGAAAUUCCCAAUGGAAAAUGGGGUAGCAACGGUGAGAGGUGACCAAAUAGGGUUGUGAAAGUGCUAUCUAAGCUCCAUCAAAAAGGUAAAGCCCCGGGACGUCCAUGUAAUCAUAGCCGAUAUAGUCAUGGUUGACGUCCCAAAUGAUGCUCCCACUGAACCAGAAGAUAUUGAUAUGAUAGAUGCACCACCCAAUCCGGAGGUCUUGGUCAGUGAGGAGAUCGAUCCCCGUAUAAUUGAACACGAACCUCAAGCCUCCCCAGUCGAGGAACUUGAGAACUUCUUGGUGGACUCCCGAGACCCAUCCAAGAUGAUGAGAGUGGGCAAGGGCUUAUCCAACACUCUGAAGGAAAAGAUUAAAGAUUUCCUAAGUAAGAACCUUGAUAUCUUUGCUUGGAAGCAUGAGGACAUGGUAGGCAUAGACCCCAAGGUCAGUUGCCACCACCUGAAGGUCGAUCUUAAGGUUGCCCCACACAGGCAAAAAAUGAGAGUCCUCAAUCCUGAAAGGUAUGAGGCUCUAAAGGAAGAGGUUCAGAAGCUCAUCCAAAAUAGCUUUAUCAGGGAAGCUACCUAUCCGAGAUAGGUCUCCAACCCGAUUUUGGUAAAGAAACACAAUGGCGAGUGGAGGGUGUGCAUCGAUUUCACCAACCUCAACAGAGCUUGCCUGAAAGACAACUUUCCUCUCCCAAGGAUUGACCAGCUAGUAGACUCCACGACUGGGCACGAGUUGUUGAGCUUCAUGGACGCAUACUCCAGCUACAACCAAAUACCCAUGCUCCCGGCCGAGGAGCACACUUCUUUCAUAAGAGAUCGAGGCCUCUAUUGUUAUAGACUGAUACCCUUCGGGUUGAAAAAUGCCGAUGCAACUUAUCAAAGGCUCGUUAACAAAAUGUUUAUGGACCUCAUCGGUAAAACGAUGGAGGUAUACGUGGAUGACAUGCUGGUAAAAAGUUUGGAGGCUGAAGACCACAUAACGCACCUUAACAGCACAUUCCAGAUCUUGAGAAGAUAUAGGAUGAGGCUCAACCCCCUCAAGUGCGCCUUUGGAGUGGCUUCCGGCAAAUUCUUGGGAUACAUGGUCAAUCAAUGCGAAAUUGAAGCCAACCCGGAGAAGAUUGAGGCCCUAUACAAGAUGAGGUCUCCCCAAAAGCCAAAGGAAGUGCAAAGUUUGACUGGGUUGGUGGCUGCACUUAGCCGCUUCAUCUCCAAAGCUACAGACAAGUGCCUCCCAUUUUUCAAAGUGCUGAAAGCUGGAACGAGGAAUGUGAAGAGGCCUUCCAAGACCUGAAAAGGUACCUGGGGUAGGCCCCCCUCCUCUCCAAACUGAAGCCCGGAGAAGUCCUACAAAUAUACCUGGCCGUCUCAAAUGAGGCCAUCAGCUCGGUUCUAACUUGAGAAGAGGGAACCACCCAACUUUCGGUUUACUAUACAAGUAAAGUACUCCUAUCAUCGAAAACCCGUUACCCCGAUAUGAAGAAGCUCGGUUUAGCCUUGAUCACGCCUCCAAGAAACUAAGACCCUACUUCCAAGCUCACACCAUCCACGUGCUGACAAACUUUCCCCUAAGGCAAGUGCGCCAAAAGCCUGAUGCCUCGGGAAGAUUAUUGAAGUGCGCAAUGGAGCUAAGUGAAUUUGACCUUGUGUUCAAGGCUAGGGCAGCAAUCAAGGGUCAGGCCUUGGCUAACUUUGUGGCAGAAUUCACCAACUUUCCCGACGUAGAUGAAAUCAUGGAACUCACAGAGCCCCCUACAUGGAACUUAUUCGUGGAUGGGUCGGUUGGCGACGCCGGCUCAGGUGCUGGAGUGGUCCUCAUCAGCCCUGAAGGUCACAAGCUAAACUCGACGAUGAGGUUCGGGUUCAAGGCCACCAACAAUGUAGCAAAAUAUGAGGUACUACUUGCAGGCCUCACGCUGACCAAGGAAAUGUAAGUAAAGAGGCUCCUCAUAAGCAGUGACUCCCAGUUGGUUGUUAGCUGAGUAUAUGGUAACUUCUCAGCCAAGGACAAAACAAUGGCCUCCUACCUGAAAAUGAUGAUGAACCUCAUCCUAUCCUUUGAAAAAUUCGAACUAACCCAGAUCCCCCAUAUCAAAAAUUCUCAUGCGGAUGCACUCUCCAAGCUCGCUAGUAGCAAGGAUUCAGAACUACUUACGGUUGCACCUAUAGAGCACCUCCUCCUACCAUUGACCGAGGCCCCCCAAUGUCAUGUGGGUCGCUGGGACCCCUACUUGGAUGCAGCCAAUUGUAGCAUACCUUAGAGACCAUGUACUUCCCACUGACAAGUGUGAGGCCUACAAGCUAAGGAGGAGGUCAGUCCACUUCCUCUUUGUUGAUGAUGUUCUCUAUAAGAGAAGCUUCUCCUCUCCACUCUUACGGUGCGUCGGAGGAGAAGAGGCUAAUUACAUAUUAAGAGAAGUCCAUGAGGGCAUGUGCGGCAAUCACUCUAGAGGUCUAUCUUUAGCACAAAAAAUAUUGAGGCGGGGUACUACUGGCCUACCCUGAAAAGGGACGCCCUCCAGUUUGUACGAAAGUGUGACAAAUGCCAACGAUUCUCUUCGGUAUAAAGACAACCGUCACAGGAUUUGACUACAGUCUCCAGCCCUUGACCUUUCUCGGAGUGGGGUAUGGACCUCAUAGGUCUUCUUCCUAUAGGUAGAGGAGGUGCAAGCUUUGCAAUUGUGGCCAUCGAUUACUUUACAAAAUGGGUUGAAGCCGAACCGCUGGCAAAAAUUACAGAGGCAAAGACUUCCAAGUUCCUAUGGAAGAAUAUUAUAUGCCGGUUCGGGAUUGCUUACUCGAUCAUCUCAGACAAUGGUAGACAAUUCGACAACAAUAAGGUCAGAGAACUAUGCGACGAACUUGGCAUCAAGAAGCAUUUCUCUACACCUUACCACCCACAAGCAAAUGGACAAGUUGAGGCUGUCAACAAAACAAUCAAACAUUUCCUAAAAAGGAAGCUUGAUGUGUUGAAGGGGGCCUGGGUAGAUGAGCUGCCACAAGUACUUUGGGCGAUUUGAACCACCACGAGGACCCCAACUGGGGAAACACCCUUCCUCAUGGCAUUUGGAACUGAGGCAAUGAGCCCCGUCGAGGUCGAACUGCCAUCUCCAAGACGUCUGCAUUUUAGUGAGAUGACAAAUGAUGAGCUUAGGAGGUUCGACCUCUAUUUAGUGAGCAUACAUCAAUUUUAAUAAAAAAUGCUGGGCCGUCUAGAAAUGGUCAUUUAGAUUCAGACGGAUCCAGAAGGCAUUUUAAUGCAGGUGGCUGGAAAUGGCUCCAACAAUCUUCGUUACCAAAAUCUAAAAUAUUUUGAUAUUUCAUGCCUUAUUUCUCAUAUACAAACAUUUUUUGCAUAGAUUCUUUAACAAAUCUAUAUAUAAGUGCUUUAUUUCAAAAAUUAAUUGUAUAUAAUGGUUUCAAUGCUCACCAAAAAUUCAAGGGGUAAGAGAUGGCGAUCUCCCAUCGGGGUCGUUGAUUUCUUAGCGUCUGAGCGUCAAUUUAGGGUCCUUAGUAAUUUUCACUCUUUUCUCUCUUCAUAAUAUGAGGAUAUAAAUGGGAAUUUCAUUAAUUUUUAAUGUUUUAAAUGUUUUUUUUAAUAGUGGUCAACGACGAUUUUAUUUGUUGAUAACAGUCAACGCCAUUUUGGGAAGAUGGCUGGAGUUCAUCGCUUUGGUACAACAUUUAAAAGGACAAAUAAAAGUCAAACAGACAUUAUAAUGCCAGUGGCUGAAGAAGUGUUGCAAACGAAGACAAAAUUAUAUAUUUAAAAAAAAUGAAAAAAAUUAUAAUAUAAUGCUAGUGGCCUAAGAAUUGCUGGAAGUAAGCCAAAUGAAAUAGUCAAAUAAACAUUAUAAUGCUAGUGGAUUAAGUCCCUGUUUAACAAUCAUUUAAAAAAAAAUCAAAUUUAUUUUCAACUACAUAUUGUCAUAAUAAAAUAUUUUACACGUACAUAUAUAUAUAUAUAUAUAUUACUUUUUAACCAUAUAUUAUUCAAAAAAUUACCGUUCUAAAACUCAUUUAAAAAAAAAAAUUAAUAGUUGUCAAAUCAGGCUCGAGAAAUAUUGCGCACAAACGUAUGGGCCAGUUUUCGAAGAAUAAUGUGAUUUAUUCUACAUUAUUUUAUGAGUUGUGCUACACUAGUAAAUAUGGUUCACAAAGUAGAUUGAUAAAAUAACAUCCACAUCAAUCAUUUCAAAAAUAGGUUUUUAAAUUAUUUGAAAUCAAUAGUCUGAAUUUUGCCAAGAUAUCUUUUGUCAACCAACUUGUAAGGGAACUUUGUACAAGUAGAAUUAUUGUUCAUUGUCUAAUAAAAGUUAUGAUUACUACUUAUGACUCUCUAGAGUCAUUGUUUUAUGAUCACAAUGAAAAAGACCACCUUAGAAUAGUUUUUGUCUAUGAGAUCUUCAUUUUACUUCAAUUAUGAAGUUAUCCUUAUUGUAAAGAACCUUUUUCAUCAUUUUCCUUUUCUUUCUCGUCUACACUGUCACCCUAAUAAACACCCUUCCCGACUUUCCCUAAUGAACCUUACUACGCUUUCACCUCAACCCUUGUCAUAGGGGUCUGUCACAACCCCUGUUUGAGUAGUAUAACACUUUGCUAAUUUUAUUAUGUUUUUUAUUAGCUAGGGAGUCUAAGUAAGGGGGGAUGUGGUGGAAGGAGAAGAACCAUAGAGUGGGUGAAAUGGUGAAAUAAGGGGAGGGGACAAAAACACGAGGAAUGAUAAAAAUAAGGGUAGGAGAGACUAUGCACAACACGGGGUGUCAAUGACUGCAAUUAUAUUUAGCUCAUUGAUCCACUUGCAAUCACAAUUUUUUUCAACAUUGGCCACACUUUGUAAAAAUCAGUUUAAGUUGUAAUUUCCUUCCAGAUAUACUAGUUUAUUUCAAUUGAAAAAGAAUCAUGUUUUUUUUUUGGAACAUGUUUAAUUAUUCCUCAACUUUUAAUGUCUAAUUUUUCUUAUUUAAGUUAAUAUAGGAUAAUAAUUGGUAUAUGAAAUCUUAUCAAACUCACUAGUAUUUCUCUCCUAUACCAGAAAUUGUAAUUUAUUGCUUUCGUUAAUCAAUAAACAAGCUAUUUUUAAUACAUUCAAUUUUUCUAGUUGUAAAGCUUUAUUUAAAUUAUCUUUCGUCCCGGAUCGAUUGAGAACAUAUGGAAGAUAGUCUAGCAUAAUAAUUUACUGUCGUAUGAUUCCCCUUUCUUUGCUACAAAGAAAGAUGCCCCGUGAUAUGGAGGAGGAUUUUCAAAACGAGAUUGGGAGCCUAAGUUUAUAGUGGUUGCAUCUGUGAGUGUCAAGAAAGAAUCUUACAUCCAUUAAACAUAAAUCGGUAAUCAACUUAUUAGGUUAACCUUUUAGUAGAAAUAAUAUUGACACAAAAAAAUAUUUAUUAAAAUGGUGAUUCGCGAAGGAAGAAACUGUGUCGUGGUGGAUUUGAUGUGGAUACUGGAGAGGAGAGGAAAGGGAGGAGCAAACAUCAUUGGAUUAGAGAGGGGUGACUGCGACACUGCUUUGAUUGGCUUCACUCCGGCUCCGGCGCUCUCAGUUUUUUUUCGACUAUUGAAAAUUUGUGGUUGAGAGGUGAGAACUGAGAGAGAAGUGAGGCAAUUUAGGGUUUGAAAUUAGGAUUUGUUAUAUAUAUAUAUAUAUAUAUAUAUUAAUUAAUUAAUAAAAGUUCUGAUUUUUGAAAUUGUAAAGUUGAAAUUUGAUUUAUGAAAUGGGAUUACUAAAGGUCCUAGUUCCUGUAAUUUCCUCUUUAAAAAUAUUGAGAAAAGAACUAGCCCAAUUACACUAGAAAAUCUUGAAAAAUUCGCACCACAACUUGAAGAAGAUAAAAAAAUAUGUCUUGGCGAGAGCAAGCCAGACUUCCGUCAAUCCUUAACUUUCCAUAAAACAUACCAUCUUAUGUGAACAUCAAAUGAGCAUGCUUCACUGACACUCAUCAAAGUUCAAUCGACCUAAUUAGGAUAUUCGAACAUUCCACUGGUCACUAUGGUUAAAGGGUAGCAAUCCCCCCAAAAAUUCAUACUCGAAUCGACGAUAAUAUCUCGAUAGUCCCAGUGAACUCCAUACUUUUGUUCGGAUUGACAUUUUCUGCCACUCUAAAAUUGUAUUAAUUUUACUAGAAUCUACCGUAAUUUCUCAUACUGUCAUUAUUUGUUUAAAAAUAUUACUUGACCCAACGAAUGAUUGCACUCCUUGAAUUUGGUAUUGAACUUAUAAGGGAAUUCUUCGCUUAAGCCUGUCCAAUUUGAAUCGAUAGGAUUUGGCAAACCAUGAACUUUCUAAUUAUAAAUGAAUAUAGUACGUUAGCCUGUUCGUAACCUUCUACAUUUGCCAUUGGCUUGUUGAACUAAUUGACAUCAAUUGAGAAGGGAGGUGGGGAAGUGUGGUCAAUAACCCAAAUAUAUAAUAUUUCCAUUUUAAAAAUAUUUUAUAUUUAUAUUUCGAAGUUAAAUUAGUUCCCACCAAUUGUGAGAACUUGAUUUUCCACUAAUUAGCAUAACUCAUUCGUUAGAAGCAAGUGUGCACUAAUUCAAUCAUUAUUAAUUGAAAAUACCAAAAAUUUUAAAUUGCUCUCACAGCUCGACUCAAAUGAUUAGCAGGGAUUAAUUAAUUAUUAACAUUGUGCUAAGGAAUAUAAGAAUAUUAAAAAUUGAAAUAGAACGUGUUGAUCCCAAAAUAUGUUGCCAAUAGAUGUCGGACCCACCCGCGCACACGUGAGCGAAAGUCCAACAUGCUAAGACAUGUGGAUGGUCUAAAACAGACAGAUCAAGGGCGUGUGAGUAGCUCAAAGGUGCAGGACGAGAGCGUUCGAUAUCCGGCGAGAUGGUCGUUGAUCGAUUGUACAAUAAUUACCAAUCGACGUUUGUAAAUAUAUAUCUCAAUAUGUAUGAACACGUUUGUGUUGCAAGAUAAUAAGAGAGAGAGUUGAGUAAAUAUGAUUUCUUGUAUUGAUUAUUGCAUUAGCCUUUGUAUAGGGUACAUGGCGGAGUAUUUAUAGUAUCAUAAGUUAGAUCGUGACCCUUGGUUCAGGGUUUACGUGGCCUCGUCCAGACAAUUUACACGUCAAAUUGUAGGCAUCAACCGCACCUAGCCUAUUAUACAUUUAUUGAUUGGCAGAGUUGCUUCUACUAGUGACAAGACUUAACAUUUACACUCAUAACAAAUGUCCUAUCAAUCAUUCAAGUAAGAUCUUUGUGCAGAAGAUCUCUUGGGAGAAGUGUCUAUGGAAGGUGCUACUUUGUGAUCCGGAGGUUGCUACCUCGGCUACUGAGCUUCGGCCAACAGGGCCUCCUCUUUUCACAUAAUACUUCCACUUCAGGGCUUUGGCUCAAUUUUCAUGGUGCUUCUGCAUCAUGGCCUCAACUACUUUUCAUAGUGCUUUGGCGUGAGAGCCUUGGCCACUUUCAUUGGGCUUCGGCAUGAGGGCCUCAGCCACAUAUACCACCUCGACUGAAGUGCCACAUGGUUCGACAUGGGUUGAGAAACCGAACCUACGAGGCUUGCUAGGCUGAAAUGUGAUGAAGUCGAAGUGGGUUGAAAAAUCGAACCUACGAGGCUUGCUAGGCUGAAAUGUGAGGCUCAUAGGUAAUGAUUAUUCCUGAUAGUUGUGCCAAUGAUUUGAUGUUUUACGCACCUUUUUGAAGAAAGGUGGCUGGAUCGUUCAACUUCCUAGGCGUCUACUAUCAUCGAAUUAAAGUCAUAAUUAUGAGCACAGCUGGAGCUUCUAGAAGCAGACGCAUUUGGGGAGAUGCGUGGAGGACAUGGUUGAAUCUGAAGCGUAGGUUUGAAAAAAUCGUUUGAAUUCAACGCUUCGGAUUUGGUUUAGAAUGAAGGGUUCAGAUCCACUUGGCCUUGAUCAUACGGCUGGGGUUCAUUCUGGCCCUUUAUAAAAGGCGAGAGACCCCCAUUUUUCUGGAUUUUCAUUCUUUGCAAUCUGAUAUCCUAAAAACUCCAGUUUUUUCGGCAUCCAAAUAGUUGAUCUUCUCAUUUUUCGGCUUUACUCCAUUUGCGUCGUCAUUUCCCAUAGGUAUUUUCACAGUAAAUCCUUUGCAUUGAGUUCAUUCUGAUAUGGAGUCCACCUCGGGUAGGGAAUUAGUAACAAUUGUGUCGCUCGACGAUGGGGCAAGUCAUAGAGGGGACCCCGAGGUCGAGCAAUAUGUUAUAUGACCGAGGAGCCAGCAGAUUACAGUGAGGGUGGAGGGCAUCCAGAGUGCCUUCAAAUAUGACUUCGAAAAGGCAAGGGAAAAUCAGGGAGAGGUACUGUGUACCUCAUUAUGUGGAAAUGUUGCUACCCGAGGCUCAUGAGCACGCCUGCUAUUCGAGGUCCGGGUGCUUGGCAGUGAGUGAAUACCUGUUUAAGGUAGGUAUUUGUCUUCCUUUGCACCCCUUCUUUAGGGCGGUGCUGAGGAACUUUAUGUUGUCGCCGACCCAGGUUUUGCCAAAUGGGUGGAGCUAGUUGGUUUGUUCGUACUUCCUAUGGAAGGAAGUGUCACUUGGGGAGGACAUGCCUCUCCACAUCUUCAUGACCUUGUUCCAGUCCAACGUCAUAGGUAAGGAGUCGAGAAGGUGGUAUUACUUAACUCCUUGGGGGGCUCACGCACCAUUUGUGGUAGAACUGCCUUUUUCCAUCAAAGGAUGGAGGGAGUAGUGGUUCUGGGUGAGGGGCAGAUGGCAGGCAGUGGAGGAGGACACAGCCUUGGCUUGCACAGUACCAACAUAGUACUACGAAGCUUGUGAGUCUCCCUGCCUAAGUAGUUUACGUUCUAUAUUCCAAACUUUAUUUUUCUAACUGUUGAGGGUUGCUGUGUAGAUAGUAGUACGAGAUUCGAGUUAAGCAAGGAGAAGUUUGAAGUGAUAGAAGACAUUUACAAGAGACCUCUUAAACUUCGGUACUUCGACCACCUCAUCGAUCGAAGCCGCUACUUCAUUGAUUUUGAAUUGAUGGCCUCUAAAGGUAAGGGGUUUGUAUACUCGUGCAUUUUUUGCUUUUUGUUUCGAUGUUGAUGAACUUACUUGGUUUGCAGACAAGUUCAAGAGGAGGGAGUACCCAGCUCUGGACAUGGCCUCUAUCUUUAGGGCCACGUCUAACAUGACGGUGAGGCCCCUGAAGCCGGGGUCAAGCGGUGAUAAGGAGGUUCGGGGUAAGGUUGAGCGACUCUCCAAGAAAAGCAGCUCCAGAGUUGUUGAAGAAGGGGCCCCUCAGAGGCCGGAGAAGGCCAAAGAGCCUCGAAGAAAGGAAAAGGUCCCUGUGGAGCCGAAGAAGAUGAAGUUGGUGUACAUCACCAACUUAAGUUCGGGACCUCUGUGUCCCACGAAGGGAAAGAAACCCCUCAGCCAAAGCUCCUGGAGGCCCUUCCAAAGCUAUGAAAGUUGAGAUGGUGCGGCGUGCUGAGGCCAAGGAUGUUGUGGCGAAGAGAGUUGCUGAGCAGGCAGAUGAGGAAGCUGCCAAGCAGAGGCCCACAAGAGUCCAGGGCAAAUCGUCGAGCUUUCUUGUUGGGAGGGAGGAGGUCCUGACCUCGGCAUUGGUGGAGGCUCUACCAGUCGAGAUCCGAAGCGCUACGGAGAGCUUCUAUAAGUUUUGGAUGGAUCGGUGGUAGUUGUAUGCCUCUUCGUGCGACGCGGUGGACCUGAAAAGGGUUCUUGUGAGCCAAAGUGUGAGGACCUUUGGCCUCGCGUUGGAGUGCAGGGAGGCCCUUAAUGAUUUUCAGACGAGGACCCACUCAUUGGAGAAGAAGGUGUCCUCCCUUACAGAGGAGUUGAAGAAGGCCAGGGCCGAGGUAGAGGAAGCGAAGGCCCAAAAAUCAGAAGAUGCGGCGAAGCUAGAGUCUGCCUUGGUCCAGAUCGAGGCCUUGAAGAAAGAGGUUUACGAGUCUCAGUGCAAGGUGGCUUUUCUUAGCAAAAAAAGUGGAGGUCUCCAAUGACCACCAAAAGGUGACUGUUGAGGCCUUGGAAAAGGCCAAUCUGCAGCUGGCCGGGGCCCAAGAUGCAUACAAAUUCUUGGAGGGCCAAAUAAAAUGGUAUGUGGAUGAAAUGGCCAAGGUGUGGGAGGAGGCUAACGUGGCGAGGGAGGAGGCAGUCAAAGAUUACAUUACUAACUCUAACUUCCUCAACAGAGAGGAGUAUAAGAGCUUCAGCUCUACUGGAGGAAUUAUGCCUAUGCUGAAAUGAUGGAGAGGGCUGAGGAACUCUUCCCAAAUCAAGACCUGUCACAGUUGAGGUCGGAGUUUAUGGAUGAAGUGCCUCAGACCCCAGCUGAUAAAGCAGUUGGGGAUGAGGCAGCGAAGGCAGAAGAGAGUUUUGAUGCUCAAGCUGCGGAGGCUCCUGCCGUCAAGGCACCUCUGCCAUCAUCCGAGGCUUAGGAUAGUUUACUUUUCAACCAAUUUUGAUGUAAUGGCCUCAGGCCCUCCUUUUGUAACAUUGAAAAUCAAUGUAAUCUUUUUCAUUCAAUGUUGUUCUUCCAAGUGCAUUGGCCUCGUUAAAUAAUCACACUUAAGGUUGAUUGAUUAAUUAAAUAACCUUGACUUAAUAUCCCAACUCCAAUCACUUAAGUAGAUUGUACUCAAGCCACACGAACCAUGACUGAUAUUGGACUUAAGCAAGUAGAUUACACUUAAGCUUAAUAACCGUGACCUGAAUAAACCUUAAUACUGGACUGUUUUCUAGCUGAACCGGGUACAUUGCUAUGUCUGAUCGAGUUGCCUGAAGCCUGUAGUGGUUGGGCCUUGUGAACAUAGGAAACGAAGUUCGAUCCUCGUUGAGGCUUCUGCCAGUGGCGCUCGGCCUCGCCAAAGGGAGGCAAGUGGCAUGAGCCUUAGAGUUCAAGCGAGGUGUCCCAGAGAUGGGAUGCUGACCUCUCUUCCGAGGUUACGACGCUUCCCAACAUGGUGGAUGGUUCAACCAUGUUGAGACUUCUCCCAGUGGCGUUCAGCUUUGCCAAAGAGAGGCAAGUGGCAUGAGCCUCGGAGUUCAAGAGAGGUAUCCCAGAGAUGGGUCACUGAUCUCUCCUCUGAGGUGAUGACGCUUCCUAAUAUGGUGAUGGUUCAUCCAUAUUGAGGCUUCUCCCAGUGGCCUUCAGCCUCGCCAAAGGGAGGCAAGUGGCGUGAGCCUCAGAGUUCAAGCGAGGUGUCUCAGAGAUGGGACGCUGACCUCUCCUCCGAGGUUACGACGCUUCCCAACAUGAUGGAUGUUUCAUCCAUGUUGAGGCUUCUCUCUGUAGCGUUCAGCCUUGCCAAAGGGAGGCAAGUGACGUGAGCCUCGAAGUUCAAGCGAGGUAGCCCAGAGAUAGGUUGCUGACCUCUCCUCCAAGGUGACGACGUAGUGCGAGAUGAGUUCAAUCACGGAGAAUUUUAUUGAAUUAUGAAAAUGUUACAUGAUCUGGGAAAGAUCGUCCAGCGAGGUAGUACAUUCAUUGAUAAUAGACUCGAAGGUACUCAAUGUUCCAUGGACAGGGUUGUGCCUUGCCGUCCAUGUCCUUGAUCCGAUACGUCCCAGGUCAGAUCUCCUUUUUGAUUUUUUACGAGCCUUCCCAAUUCGAACCCAAGGUACUGGUGCCUGGUUCCUUUGAGGAGAGAAAGACUUUUCUAAGGACCAGGUCGUUGAUUCGAAAAGACCUCUUCUUCACCAUUGAGUUGAAGUAUUUCGUCAUCUUUCUUUGAUAUGUGGCAAGCUUCAGCUGGUCAUCAUCUCUUCUUUCCUCAAUGAACUUGAGGUCAAACAUCCAGAGCUCGUCGUUUGUUAUUUCACUGAAGUACAGACAUCGGGGAGAUGGAAGUCCGACCUCGACGGGGCUCAUUGCUUUCGUUCCGUAUGCCAUGAGGAAAGGUGUUUCCCCUGUGGGGGUCCUAGUUGUAGUUCGGAUUGCCUAAAGCACUUGUGGUAGCUCAUCUACCCAAGCCCCCUUUGACACAUCAAGCUUCUUUUUCAGGACAUGUUUGAUGGUCUUGUUUACAGCCUCAACUUGGCCAUUUGAUUGCGGCUGGUGAGUUGUGGAGAAGUGCUUCUUGAUGCCAAGUUCUUCACACAAACUUCUAACCUUUUUUUGUCGAACUGUUUACCAUUUUCUAAGAUGAUUGAGUAGGGUAUCCCGAAUCGACAUAUAAUGUUCUUCCACAAAAACUUGGAAUUGUUUGCUUCCUUGAUUUUUGCCAGUGGCUUAGCCUCAACCCACUUCGUGAAGUAAUCAAUGGCUACAAUUGCAAAGCUCGUGCCUCCUCUGCCUUUCGGUAGAGGGCCUAUGAGGUCCACACCCACUUUGAGAAAGGCCAGGGGUUGGAGAUUGCAAUCAAAUCUUGCAAUGGUUGUCUUUGAAUAGGAAAGAAUCGUUGGCAUUGUCACAUUUUCGUAUAAACUGGAGGGCGUCCUUUUUCAAGGUAGGCCAAUAGUACCCCUGUCUCAGUAUUUUUUACACCGAAGAUAGACCUUCAGAGUGGUUACCACACACUCCCUCGUGGACUUUCCUUAAGAUGUAGGUAGCCUCCUCUCCUCCCACGCAUCAGAGGAGUGGAGAGAAGAAGCUCUUCUUGUAGAGUAUAUCAUCGAUGAAGAGGAAAUGAGAUGACCUCCUUCUUAGCUUGCAAGCUUCCAGCUUAUUAGCGGGAAGUACCUGGUCCUUUAGGUAGGCCACGAUGGGCUGCAUCUAGUUAGGAGUCCCGGCAACCCACAUCACAUUGGGUGCCUCAGUUGAUGGUAUGAGGAAGUGCUCUAUUGGGACUAUUGUGAGUAGUUCAGAGUCCUUGCUACUUGUAAGUUUGGAGAUUGCGUCCGCAUGUGCAUUCUCCACACGGGGGAUUUGGAUCAACUCAAACUUUUCAAAUGAUGGGACGAGGUUCAUCACCAUUUUCAAGUAGGAGGCCAUGGUUUUGUCUCUGGCAGAGAAGUUACUGUUUACCUGGCCGACGACAAGCUGGGAGUCGCUACUGAUAAGUAGCCUCUUCACUUGCAUUUCUCUGGCUAACCUGAGGCCCGUAAGAAGUGCCUCAUAUUCUGCCAUAUUAUUGGUGGCCUUGAAUCUGAACCUCACAGCUGAGUUCAGCUUGUGAUCUUCUGGGCUGAUGAGGACAACUCCAGCACCCGAAUUGAUGUCCCCAGUCGAUCCAUCGACGAAUAAGUUCCAUGUAGGGGGCUCGACAUUUUCCAUGAUUUCAUCCACCUCGGGUAAAUUGGCAAAUUCUACCACAAAAUUAGCGAAGCCUUGGCCUUUGAUGGCCACCGUAGUCUUGAACACGAGGUCAAAUUCACCUAGCUCCACCACCCAUUUUAAUAAUCUUCCUGAGGCAUUAGGCUUUUCAAGUACCUGCCUUAGGGGAAAGUUUGUUAGGACAUAUAUGGUGUGAGCUUGGAAAUAAGGCCUUAAUUUCCUAGAAGCCUUGAUCAAGACUAAAGCGAGCUUCUCCAUAUCGAGGUAACGAGUUUCCAAUGACAGUAGUGCUUUACUUGUAUAUUAUAUGGGGAGCUGGGUCAUCCCUUCUUCUUGGAUUAGAACUGCACUAAUGGCCUCAUUGGAGACGGUCAAAUACAACCAAAGAAUCUCACCGGGCUUCGGUUUGGAAAGGAGGGGGGCCUGCCCUAGUUUCCUUUUCAGGAGCUAGAGGGCCUCUUCACAUUCCUCGGUCCAUUGAAAAUUUUUCCCAGUUUUCAACACUUUAAAAAAUGGGAGGCAUUUGUCUGUAGCUUUGGAGACAAAGCGACUAAGUACGGCCACUUGCCCAUUCAGGCUUUGUACUUCUUUUGGCUUUUGAAGGGACCUCAUCUUGCAUAUGGCCUCAAUUUUCUCAGGGUUGGCUUCAAUCCCGUGUUGGUUGACCAUGUAUCCUAAGAACUUUUCAGAGGCCAACCCGAAAGCGCACUUGAGGUGGUUGAGCCUCAUCCUAUACCUUUUCAAGAUUUGGAAGGUGUUGUUGAGAUGCGUCACAUGGUCUCCAGCUUCCAUACUUUUCACAAGUAUGUCAUCUAAGACCUCCAUUGUCUUGGCGAUGAGGUCUACAAGUAUUUUGUUGACGAGCUUUUGAUAUGUGGCCUCGGCAUUUUUCAACUCGAAGGGCAUCAUCUUAUAGCAGUAAAGGCCUCUGUCUGUGAUAAAAGAGAUGUGCUCCUCAUCGACCAGGUGCAUGGAAAUUCUGUUGUAGCCGAAGUAUGCGUCCAUAAAGUUCAACAACUCGUGUGCAGCCGUGGAAUCUACCAGUUGGUCAAUCCUUGGGAGUGGAAAGCUGUCCUUAGGCAAGCUUUGUUGAGGUUAGUGAAAUCGAUGCAUACCCUCCACUUUUUGUUAUGUUUCUUUACUAAAAUCGGGUUGGAGACCCACCUCGGGUAGGUUACCUCCCUGAUGAAACCAUUUUGGAUGAGCUUCUGAACUUCUUCCUUCAAGGCCUCAUGCCUCUCAGGGUUAAGGGCUCUUCUCUUUUGUUUGUGCGGGGCAACUUUUGGAUCAAUUUUCAAGUGGUGGCAGCUGACCUUGGAGUCUAUGCCUAUCAUAUCUUCAUGCCUCCAAACAAAGACAUCAAGGUUCCUACUUAGGAAAUACUUAAUCUUUUCUUUCAAACCGUUGGACAAACCUUUUCCUAGUUUCAACAAUUUGGAUGGGUCUCGGGGUUCCACCGAGAAGUUUUCAAGUUCUUCAACUAGGGAUGCUUGAGGUUCGUGUUCAAUUAUGCGGGGGUCUAUCUCAUCGGUAACCAAUACUUUUGGCAUGAGUGGUGCAUCAAUCAUUUCCACAUCUUCCAGUUUGAAGGCAGCAUCACCUGGGACAUCAGCCAUAACUAUGUCAGUGAUAAUCACGUGGACGUCCCGGGGCUCUACCUUUCUGAUGGAGCUCAGAUAGCACUCUCUAGAGCCUCUUUGGUCGCCUCUCACCGUUGCCACCACGUUUUCAGUCUAGAAUUUCAUGCAUAGGUGGUGGAUGGAUUUGAAGGCUUCCAAUUCCUUUAGAGAUGGCCUACCCAUUUUUUCGUGGUAGGCCGAUCGACUGUCAACAACGAGGAACUCCAUAAAGUUCACUGUGGUUUGGGGAGACUCCCCCAUUUCCACUGCAAGGGUGAUCUUUCCUCUCGGAGUGAUGCUAUUUCCGGUGAAUCUGUACAAGAGAGUAGUCGUGGGCGUCGAAUCAUGGUCUAAUAACAUCUUGUUGAAAGUAGACCUAAACAAGAUGUUGACAGAGCUACCGUUGUCAACUAGUAUUCGCUUGAGCCCAUUCCGGGCUAUGACCGCUCUCACUACAAGUGCAUCGCAGUGGGGGUAGUGAACCCCUUCAGUGUCCUUUUGGGUGAAGACAAUAGGUGGAACUUGAUCCCUCCGGGAGCUAUGGCCCACAAUAUAGCUGGUAAGCGGGGGUGCUUGGCCUCACGAGCAUAAUUCCUUUUAGCGUUUUGCGUUUCACCAUCAACAUAUGGGCCUCCAAAAAUGGUAUCCACCUCGUGGAUGGGCCUUAUCCUAAGUUUACCGACUCCUUCUGUGUCUGCGCACUUCCCUGGGCCUCUCUGCAUCGUACUCCCUUCGUCGCGAAGAAACAUCCCUUUGAUGGUAAGCGGCCUCUUUACGCCCAGGUCAGUUGUCAUACCUAGGUAGGGGCCUGUUCGCCUGAGGCGAUUCUUUCUAUCCCUAGGAGGGUUCCUGCGGUGAGCAUAGUCUUAACAAUUUGCUGUGUCGUAGCCAUAGGACCAGUGGUAUAUGUAGUAUCCGGGAGGGUUCAGAUUUGACCUAUUUUUAGGUCCCAAACCCCGGCCUCGACCUCUUUCCCUGCGGGAUCCUUGCGGAGUUCCCAUCUACUGGGCGUCGGUGACUGGGUUGAUAUACUCAUAUGCUAAGGUCGGGACUGCGUUCAGUGUGGUGGUGGCAAGUGCUUGCCCAGAACUCUCAUUUUCGGCCUGGUUUAGUUGAUAAUCCAUCAAGUGUGAUGUUGGCCCCCUAGCACGUUGUCUUUGCGGAGGUGGGAGGCCUCUACUUGCUUUGUUCUUAUACUUCAUCAAUUCUUCAUUAAUGAUCUCCCGCCUCAUCAUCUCGAGCAGGGCAUCAUAGGUGGUAGGUCCUGAUUUUGCAUGUCCUUCCAAAACAAGGUGUUCAUGUUCAGGCCUUCUCUUAGUGCAAAUAAUGCCUUACGAUCGGUGACUUACACACAGUAUGUCAUCUCAUCAGUGAAACGUGAUAGGAAGCUCUUCAGGGAUUUCCCAUGUGCAUGUCUCAUGUCUUGGAGGCGUUGGAUGAGAGUCUCUCUUUCUUUGCUCGCAGCGAAUCUCUUCAAAAAUGUGAUCUUGAAUUCGGGCCAACUUUUUAUAUUCCUGGGUGGUAACCUAUUAUACCAAAUUUUAGCUGCUUCGCUAAGUGUCAAGUGGAAAGCUCGGUACUUCACAGCUGGGGUGGCUCCUCUUAGGCUCAUGUGAGUUUUGUAAGCGUUUAAGUGCUUCUCAGGGUUGCCCAUUCCGUCAUACUUUGGUAUCUUGGGCAUAACAUAGUGGUUCGGGACCUGGGCACUCCUUAGUUCCCUCUAGAAUGGCAGGUUCUCAUCACCAUCGUCCAAGACACAGGACCUCUGCUGCUCAUCUGAAUCGUUUUCUUCGGCCUCAUACCUUGGUGGCUGGUGAGAGGUUCCAGGACAAUUCCUAGCCUCCUCUUCCCUCCUUUGGCGCCUAUUUCUAUGCAGUGCAGCACAGUGGACAUUUUCAUGCCUUUCUUCUGGCUGUUGAGGCAUGGGAGGUGGGGCCGUGGCCUUGUCCAAUGCUCGCGAGGCUGUUGUUGCCUGGGCCUCAGUUCUACAGGGCUGAUUUUAUCAAAUACACUACUUGACCUCUUAGGUCUUUGCUCUUACUCAUAUGGAGGUGGGAAGUUAUCAUGGUUCAAAGGAACCUCGGUAGGUCGCCCAGAAGCGUAGUUAAAAGAAACAUCAACUUCCACUUCCCUUUCAAAUGGACUUCUACCUUGGCUAUAGUCCGGUGAGGCAACUCUCUAGCUUUGAACUUUAUCUUCUUGCUGGUAGUAUCCUUGUAGAGCGUAUGGAGGAUUAGGGAAGCCUCCCUAGCCUUGCAUUUAGGCCAUGAGUUUCCUCAUAGCCAUGUUCUGGCUGGCAAUGUCUCUCAUGUUGGCUACCAUGGCGGCUAUUUCUCUUGAUAAUCUGGUUGUUACUCUCAUUCCACCUCGUCUAUGAUGGUGGUAGAGUCGGUGCUGAGCUACUGGAGGGGGCACACCCGCAUUUUCUCUUACUCUUCUGGGGGCGUAUCCUUGUUUGAACUCAUUUUCUAUGUUUGACCUUCAAAUUUUUGCUAAGUUGUGGGGCUUCCUCUUGUUCUUUUCCAAGAACAAAUCCUUUUUAAGGAGGGUGCCUACAUGUUCCUCUUCAACAAACUUUCACCACAAGGUUAUUUGUGGUUAUUGUAUGGUUUCCCACAGAGAGCGCCAAUCUGUUGACCCCAAAAUAUGUUGCCAACAGAUGCUGGACCCACCCGCGCACAUGUGAGCAAAAGUCCAACACGUUAAGACACGUGGACGGUCUAAAACAGACAGAUCAAGGGCGUGAGAGUAACUCAACGGCGCAGGACGAGAGUGUUCGGAAUCCGAUGAGAUAUUCGUUGACCGAUUGUACAAGAAUCACCAAUCGACGUUUGUAAAUGUAUAUCUGAAUAUGUAUGAACACGUUUAUGUUGCAAGAUAAUAAGGAGAGAGUGUUGAGUAAAGUAUAAUUUCUUGUAUUGAUUCUUGCAUUAGCUUUUGUAUGGGGUGUAUGGGGGAGUAUUUAUAGUGUCACCAGUUAGAUCGUGACCCUUGGUUCGGGAUACACAUGGCCUCAUCUGGACAAUUUACACGUCAAAUUGUAGGCAUCAACCGCACCUAGCCUAUUAUACAUUUAUUGAUUGGCAGAGUUGCUUCUACUAGUGACAAGACUUAACAUUUACACUCAUAACAAAUGUCCUAUCAAUCAUUCAAGUAAGAUCUUUGUGCAGAAGAUCUCUUAGGAGAAGUGUCUAUGGAAGAUGUUGUUUUGUGAUCCGGAGGUUGCUACCUCGGCUACUGAUCUUCGGCCAACAGGGCCUCCUCUUUUCACAUAAUACUUCCACUUCAGGGCUUCGGCUCCAUUUUCAUGGUGCUUCUGCAUCAUGGCCUCAACUACUUUUCAUAGUGCUUUGGCAUGAGAGCAUCGACCACUUUCACAGGGCUUCGGCAUGAGGGCCUCGACCACAUAUACCACCACGGCUGAAGUGCCACGUGAUUCGGCAUGAGUGGGUCGUAAGCCCCAGUGGGUUGGCCAAGAGUGUCAACACGUAACAGAACAUACUGAGAAAUUAAAAUUUAGCCAAGUCAUAUUACCUUUACGAGUUUAGCAAAUUAGGUGGCUAGGUUUCCUACUAAAGAAAAACAAUUCCAACUUGACUAAAUUAUGAUGAGUAGGGAUCUAAUUGUUCCAAUGGUCACUAAAUUUAAGUUAACGUCUUUGAUUGGUCACUGAAAUUUAAAAUGUCAAGUUUUAAUUACUGAACUUAGGUUCAUGUAUUCGAUUGCUUAUCGAACUUAAAAUGUCGAGUUUGGCCACCUAAUUUUGAAAAAUAUCGUAUGUUACUCACUAGCAUAAAUGUUGAACUUUGAAAAUAUCGAAUUUAUAGUGAAUAAUGUACAACAGUUUUCAAAGUUCAGUGACCAAAACUCGUCAUUUUAAAUUUCGAUUAGCAAUUCCAGACAUAGGCCUAAUUUUUAUGAUCAAAAGUCGACAUUUUAAACUUCAAUGACCAAUCAAAGACAUGGACCGACCAUUGGAACAAUUAACUCGUGAGUAGGAGUUAUUCUGGAGAUAAAAGUUAUUUUUAAUAGAUAGUAAUUAAUGUUUUUCUUGAAAUUAUGAAAACACUUGAAUACAUAUUUUUUGAUGAUUUGAAAAUUAUGAAUUAGAAUAAUGGUAUUCAUAGUCACGUCUUUGAAUGAUUUUAAUUGAUUUGUCAUCUUAAUUGAAUAUUAAAUAUAGGAUUUAAGAAGACAAGUUAAUAAUACAAUCUAGCUGAUUUUUGUAAGAAUGAUUUAUUAAAGUAAUAUCCUUUGAAUUUAUGAUCGAACCGAAUUAAAUUUGAAAUAAACUAUUUAUUUGUUAGAUGUCAAUUAGUAUGUAAAAGCAUCGUAACAUAUUUCUUCUUAAAAUAAAACAUUUUUAUUUCUGUUUCUUUUUAAAAGAAUAUAUGAUAAAAUACCGUAUUUUCCAAAAAUGAAAAUCUUGUUUUAAUUAUCCAGUUGCUUAACUUCUUUUCUUGUCCGGUUAAAAGUGGGGCAUUUCCUACUUGGCUACUUGCUUCUUUCAACUAACUGAUCGCACAUCUCUCACUAAAUCGAACGGCUACGAUUUGUCAACGUAGAUGGAGUGUAUAUCGUUGAUCCGCAACACGCCGGAGUCCGCUUCCGGUGACCAGAGGUUCCCGGCAGUGGCAGAGGAGGAGGAGGAUCGGUGUAGCUCUUAUCGUCGUCAUCCACGUCUUCGAUCAGGAAGAACAGUGAUGAGUCAGACGUUGAGGGGAAGAGGUACGGAGUAAAUAUAAAUGUGGGCAUAAGAUGGGUUCGAUGCUUUGGAAAAGGUUUUGCCUAGAAGGUACAUAUUCUCCUUUUAUUUGAGUUGAAAUUCAUUUUUAAUAAGUGUUCGGUGCUAAUUUGAAGAGAUUAUAUUUGCUUUUAAAUUAGACUUUUUUUUUUCAUUUUAAAUGUGUUUUAGGGUUUUCAUUUGUUUCCUUUAUGUUGAUUUUGUUGUUUAAUUGCAUGAAGAGUAUCUUUGUACGAAAAAUAAUGAACUUGUGCACGGCGAAGUUAAAUAUCAGUUGCAUAUAGAAAUGAAGAUAAUGGAUUUUUUUCUUUAUCUUGUCCAUAAGUCUAAGUCAUCAGAAGUUUGUAAUCAACAUAGCUCUAAGCUACUGUAGUUGAACCAUGGUUUGAGAUGGCAAGAUAAGAGCUUGUCCAAGAUCAUUUCAAUAGCAAAACAAGUUGAAACUUCAAUAUUUUGAUGUUCGUAGAGUUCAGUCAAUCCUUUCUAACUGCACAAUAUCUAAUUUUCAUUGGUUUGCAUCAAUUACAAUAAGUAAUUUCUAACUUCUGAUGGUUAACAUACGAAUUCCUUUUGCAUUUAUGUUUAUGUUGUUUAUCCAAUAAUUUCUAUUGGCUUAUUUCAGGAAUGGCAUAUCUAAGUUCUAGUGUGAAAAAUCCAAAUUUUUUACCAGCCUUUCGGAUGCCUUGUCUUUCUCGUCCAUUAAAGAUAUUGGUAAGCCUGAUGAUGCAUACACCAGGAAGCGAAAAAAUUUGCUUGCCUUCAAUAACUUUUGGGACAAGAAUUGUGAUAUUACUUUAAGAAGUAACAAUGGCAGGAUAUCAAAAAGUCCUGCCAACUCUAGAAAUGCAUUAACUCAGGCAGAAACCACAAGCCAUUCUGAGAGCAAUAACUGUGAAAUUUCUAUCUCAAAGUCGUCAUCACCUGGUGGAUACCAUGUCAUCUCCACCGCUUAGUGAGAAGUUUGCCCCUGGCGGUCUUUCUCUUUGUCUGAUCUGCAAGGUACAACUGCUGCUGGUCCCAGCAUCUAGGAUUAUGGGUCUAUAACAAAAACAAAUAUAGCAAACUAUACAGAUGCCCUUCACUUUAGAGUCACACUCAGAAUCGAAAGUCAGAUAGAUGUUUAUUGAGAUGGAGAUAUUUGUAAUUUCUGCCUUGCUUUGUUAUUAUAGGCUUCUACCGUUUGUUGUAAUUGCUGCUGUAUAUUAUUAUCAGUUUCUGCUCUCCUGGUCAGCUAUUAUGUAGCUAUAUGAAAUUCCUGCUAAUUCUGAAGAUUCGUUCUCCUUCUCUUCCUGAGUCUCUUGUCCUCGUAAGUUUCUAACUAAGUAAACUAUCCUUAUCUAGGAAAUAUAGGAAUUUCAUUUAAUGAGAAGAAUAUUUUUCCUAAGGACACCUCCAUGUUAUGCUCGUUUGUGGGACUUGAUUUAGGUUUUCUCGUGAGCUUAGUAGUAAAUCAUAGUGAGCAAACUUGGUGGCAACUGAAGAGUUCUGGC
Molecule: long non-coding RNA, 58318 nt
Filed under: Olea europaea (common olive)
Lineage: Eukaryota; Viridiplantae; Streptophyta; Magnoliopsida; Lamiales; Oleaceae
Description: long non-coding RNA (OEUR_LNC000830)
Rfam family: Plant small nucleolar RNA R71 (bases 19382-19487)
Source: RNAcentral